RNAcentral lists this long non-coding RNA (53521 nucleotides) under Gossypium barbadense (sea-island cotton). RNAcentral's name for it is "long non-coding RNA (GBAR_LNC011099)". Lineage: Eukaryota; Viridiplantae; Streptophyta; Magnoliopsida; Malvales; Malvaceae. The record is from RNAcentral.
GGGUAAAAGCUUUGAUGAACGCCAGUGUCUGGUGUUGAGAAUCAGUGUUGGCUGACGGCAAGCAGAAGAUCAGGUGUCAAAGAUGGGGGAAGGGGAAGGGGAAGCAAAAAAUCGGUGUUGGCUUCUAAUUUUCCUGAAAAUGUCUUACCGAAUUAGAAACGGUAACACAUUUUCCAAGAUUAAGGGGUUCUUUUCCCAUAUUUUGUAAUUGAUUUUCUCUUGGGAAAAUAUUUUCAGCCAAACAAAUAAUGGAAAAGGCUGAAAAGCUUUUCCAGAAAAUGUUCUACUUCCAAACAAACAGACCUUUAGGUUUUGGAAUUUUAAAAUUUAGGUUUACGAUUUAAGUGUAGUUGUUAGAUUUUAUUAUUUAACAUUUAGAAUUAGAUUUAUGGUUUAGGAUUGUUUUUCAAAUUAUUUAAUUAGUUUUAUUUUUAAAAUAAAUUCAGUAAUGCAUUAUAACAAUUAUAUAUUUAAAUUUUGUGAUAUCAUAGCAUUUUUUUUUAUAAUUAGCUUAACUUUUUUUAUAAGGCUUUGUUUGUAUGGUGGAAAAAAAAUUGAAGUGAUGGAGAAUUAGAAAGAUGAAAAACAUAAAUUUCUUUCCCUAGGUGUACUUGGUAGGAGAGAUGGAAAGAAUGAAAAUAAAACAUUUAAAAAAUGUACAGUUUUGAGCUAAUAUACAUAUAUUUAGGGUUGAGCAAAAUUCGAUUCGAUUCGAAAAAGUCGAAAAAAAUUUCGAAUUUCGAAUUAUUCGAAUCGAGUUAAUCGAAUUAAUCGAGUUAAUCGAAUCAACUCAAAUUUUUUUCGAAUUUCAAGUUCGAGUCCAGUUGAAUUUUCUAAUUUGAAUAACUCGAAUAAUUCGAAUAAACCGAAUAUAAACUAUUUUUUAAAUUUUUUAAAAUUUUAGGCUUUUACUUAAACCCAAUUUCCCCCAAGCCCAAACAUUUUAUAUUUUCUAUUUCCCCAAGCCCGUCUGCCCAAGCCCCAAAGAUUUACUUUCCCAAAUCCCAAUUCCUCCCCCAAAUCAAACCCCCAGCAAAUUGCAAACCCCAAAUUAUUUUUUUUCUUCACUCUAUUUCCAUUCAAUUCAAAUCCUAAAAUCUAUUUUUCUCAAAAAACCCUAAAAUAAACACUCCUUCCUUCUUCUUCUUUUUAAUUAUUUUUUAGUUAUUUACUCAUUUAUUUAUUCACUUAUUUACUUCAAUUUUUUGUUGUAUGAAAAAAUAGUUUUUUGAAAAAUUUACAUAAAAAUAAACAACAUUAGACUUUUUUUUAUUUUAAAUUUAACUCGAACAAAUAUAUUUGAUUUGAUUCGAUUCGAAUUCUAUUUCACUCGACUCGAUUCGAGAAAACUUCAAAUUAAGUUAGAAUGAUAAAAUAAGAUUCUAAAAUUCGAUUAACUCGAAAAUUUUCGAUUUGAUUCGAUCAAAUGCUCACCCCUACAUAUAUUUCUCAUUUUCCCUCCUCUCAUCAUUCUAAUUUAGAAGUAUUCAUUUUUUGCAUUAGGAUAAAAAAUAGUUAUCCCUCCUAUUUUCUUUGCUCUCACUUUUCUUCCAGAUUAAACAUACUUUAAAUUUAUUUUCUUUCAACUUGUCCAUUCUCUCUCCUCAUUCACUUUUUCAUCCAGCCAAGAACACUCUAAAAUGGAAGGGGGUGUUUGAAAGUUAGAAAGUUUAUUGUUAAAUGAAAUUGAAACAAGGCUAACUCACCACCCCAUUGAGCAGGCUGAGCAAACAGUUGGGCUACAGCCUAGAGAUAUGCAUGGGUCGGGUUGGGCUGAGCCCAGACAAAAUUUUAGACCCAUUUUUAGGCUCGGGUCUAGCCCGAUCCGAAAUAUGGGCCUAAAAAUUUGUCCAAGCCUGACCCGAAAUAAAAUUAUUAAGCCCAAGCCCGGCCUGGUCCAUAUUAAUUUUUUUAGCUUAUUUCAUUAAAUAAAAAAAAUUUAAAAUAUAGUAAAUCAAAUACAUUUAAAACAAAUAUUAAAAUAAGAAACAAAUAAAAAAUGAUACUAAAACAAUUCUUAAAACAAUAUACAAAUUAAAAAUAUAAUAAAAAGUGAUUAUAUUAAAAUUGAAAAUAAAAUGUAAAUAUGAUUAAAAAUAAAAAAUAUAUAUAUAUUUAGUAUAUAAUUUGGGCCGAGCCGGGCCGGGCUGGGCUCGGGCCAAAAAAGUUUUACCCGAGCCCGGCCCAUUCUCUAAACGGGCCUUUUUUUUGCCCAAACUCAUAUUUUGGGCCUAUAUUUUUACCCGAACCCACUAAUUUUUCAGGCAGGCCUUCAGGCCGGGCAGGGUAGCCCGACCCAUGCACACCUCUACUACAGCCUAGUUCUGUGUUUUAACCGUUAAAUUAAGCUUAAAGCCCUCUUUAGAAUGUACUGAUAUGUUAUAACUUGGUACCAUCCCUAUUACAACUCCAUGGAAAUCACUUCUGUCACUUGUUUUGAAUUAGUUUUAAGACAUCUUAUUUUCUACUAGAAUUUUAUUUAUCUUUUAACUAUUAUUUAUUUUUAUGUUAUUAUAAAUUAUUUUAAUUACUUAUAUAUAAUUAUGUUUUUCCUUAUGGGUAAUAUACAAAAUAACCAAAGGAAGUCUAACUCUUAAGUUGAAAAAGGAUUCACGAAAGACAAAUACAAUGUUAGGUAGGUCAAAUGUGAAGCUUUCUUCCUUUUUUUUCUUUAGAGAUAGAAUCAUAUGUGUUACCAAGAUUCCAUGAGCAAAGACAAACAAACCUGCCAUCCCAUACAAUAUAAUACCAUUAACUAAUUACCAAUUAAAUUUCACCUUCGGGGUUAGCUCACUUUCACUUUAUUGAGGAAUAAAAUUCAAUUAGAUUUGAAAAAAUCGAAAAAAAUAAAUUUGAGUUACUUAAUUUUUUUUGAAUUAACUCGAAUAAGUAAUUCGAGUUUUAAGCUCGAGUUGAGUUGAAUUUUAUAAAUCGAAUUACUCAAAUAACAAAUUGAUAUAAAUACUCUUUUAGUUCCUGCCAAUUUUGAAAAUGAGAAAUAUGAUUUCUCCCUCAACAAAAAUUACAAAAUAAAUUCUAAAAUUUAUAUUUUUUAAUAAAAUCUAAAGAAUAUAUAAAAAAAAUUAAAAAUUUUCUAAAAUAAUAAUUUGGACACAUAAAUUAGUUCAAGUUUAUCAUACUAAAGUAUUUUUUUUUUCUUAUUUUACUUUGAAAUUUUUUUUAAAUAUAUAUGAUUUCAAAUUUAUAUGUUCUAACAUGAAAUUAGUUAUAUUGUAAUAAGAUUUUAAUUUGACAUGUUUAAUUUUUAAAUUUCACUUGAUUUGACUUUACUUGAAUUUUAUUUACUCGAUUUAAUUCGAAAAAAUUUCAAAUUAAAUUAAGAUGAUAAAAUAAGACUCAUCAAUUCGAUUAACUCAAAAAAAAAUUCACUCAAUUUAUCGACUAAGUUCAACACUCAUCCCUACUUUCUAAUGUUUUCAAGUCAACAUUCUCCUCAUUUACUUUAUUUUUUACCUACUAUUGAAAUUAUGUGUAUAUAUAUAUUUAUUUAGAAUGUUUAGUUAUUGUGGAUCAGUUCCUUUCCCCUUUUUCUUUUUCUUUUUUAAUUUAGCUUGAAAUUCUUAUCAUGUUCACAUCAGAAUUUUAUUUAAAAAGGAAAAUAUUCUUCCAUCUUCAUCUCCUGCCCUGACCUUUAGUUUUAAAUGGCUUGUGUGUAAAGAAAGAUAUGAAAUAUGAAAGAUUCUCGUGAUCAUAGGCUCUUAAAGAAAAAGACUUACUGUAUUAAUAUUACUUUUUAUGUUAUAACGAUUUUUAAAGAAUUAUAUAUUUUGAUACAUUUAUGUAUUUGUAUUGUAUUGUAUGCUAAGAAAUUUAAAUUUUCAGAAAUACAACGUAGAUGCAUAAUUAUAAUAAAAUAUCCUAAUCACUAGGUCAGCAAGGAAUCCAAAAAUAUCAACUGCCUUUAUCUUCAUCAUAACCUAAUAUUGAUCAAUGGUGCUGAUAUUUACUUGUACAUAAGACGUUUUCAGGUUAAUUACACAAUUACAUAUAAGAAUUAACCCAAAUAUUUUAUAUUAAUCAAUGGAGCACACAGUUUUUUAUUUACUGAUUCACAUUUUUUAAAAUAAAUAAUUAUAUAAUUAAAGUAGUUGGAUAUCACCAAUGGUUGGUGGCUUCAAUGUCAAUGGCUAUCCUUUUUUUAAAAUUUUCCCAUGUUUUCCAAAAAAAAUCCUUGAAGCAACAGGCCAACAGACACAUCCCCCUUUCAGUGAUAAUUAUCAAUAUUUAAAUAUGUAAAUAUUAUGGUGCACUACUUGCUUGAAAGCUGUGAAUGAAUUUUUGUCAAACAUUUCGGUUGGCUGCAGUGUUAUGGUUAAAGAGAGGCAAAACAACAACACUCAGCUCUAUGAACCUUCUUCUUCCACAUGAUGUCAAGCAAAUAACCUAACUCUGUUUGAUUGAACCACUAUUAAUCAUUCAACCAUUUCUGUCAUUUUGCAGUUUAAGAUGAUCAUACAUAUAUUAGCCAUGAAUCAAAGAUAUUGGUGAUGAUGCAGUUUUUGUCCAUAGAGUGGGCACCACCUCACCUGAUCACUAAGCUUAGAAGCAAUUCCUUAAAAGAGAUGAAGUCCGUGGGGGUUGGUGAAGCUAAUUAGUCUUCUCUUCUAUAUUUGGUGCAAAUCAAAUGACCAUACGUUACCAAGUAGCCCCACACAACAACACCAAACUUUCCUUCCUGUCAAUGCUGAUAAGGUUACGGGAUUUUGAAAUUUAAAAUAAAUAAAGAAUUGGUCAAGUUUAUUAAUAUAAAUUGACAUAUAAGCUCCUAACAAAAUCUGCUUCCUUGGAAAUGAAAUAAAUAUUAACUAUUAUAAAUCAUGCCCUUCUCAUAUUUCUUUUUAUUUUUUAAAAAGUUAAUUUAUUAAUUUAUUUAAUGAAUGAAACCAUACAAUUCAAGAAAUAAUAAUAAUAAACACUUGUUGUAGAUGGUGAAGGACAAACUCCAUCAACACAAUAAAGGCUUUAGUCUUAGCAUCAAUAAAACAUCGUGAUACGUUGACAAUUGGUUUUGUCACAUCUUAAGCACAACAUAUUUAGAGUGAUUGCAAGCACUUAAUACGAUAAGAAAAUCAACCCUGAAUGGUCCAAAGCGGCGAGCAAAAAUUAAUAAAAAAAUCGAGCAUUCAUCAAACUAGAGAAGACAACAAUAAAACUAUCCUUAAAAUCACUUGUAAAACUAAUGUUACAUGCAUAAACAAGACUGAAAAAACGUGUUACAAGAGCAGACAAAAACUUCUAAAACUGAAAAUUUAUUAAACAAUGUAAAAACAAACAAAAAAAUAUAUAAAACUUAAAACAAUACAGGUCCAAAUCGACUCAUAAAAUCAUUUAUUAUUUUGAAAUACUCUCAAAAUAAAAAUAUAUUAAGAAGCUGAUGAGAACCACCCACUAUCCAAGAAAAAUUAUUAGUGGCCGGUGGAAUUUUAGCAAACAACAUUUACUGUUAUAUGUCCAUCACAACUUGUAAAGCAUAAAGUCAUGUAGAGUCAAAAAAAAAUUGAUGAAAGGGAUAAAAAAAUGAUUUUUUAUUUUGCACAUAUCUCAGUUCCCCCAACACAUUUAAUCCUACAAUUACUUUACAAUUAUCAUUAUCAACUAAAUCAUCAAAAUUCAACAAUUUAAUAUGUUUUGACAACAUCACCUAAAAUUAUUUAUCUCAAACAUCAUAAGAUUGAUUCCAUUACAACUAUUAUAACUUUAUAUAUAUAUUCACAACUAAUCAUUCAGGAGAUAUAUUUUUCGGGUAAAGAUUUCAGUCCUAAUCAUUUUUUCUAAUUAAAAAGAUUUGUUCAUUUAAAAUAAUGUUGAAUUCUUGGUUUAAAUCAUAGUUUUGUAUUGUACGUGGCCAACAACUUAGCCAAUCGUGGUCCAGCGCGAAGGAUUUGUUAAACCAAAGAAUUCUGAAGGAUAUUUUUUCCUUAUAAGGAUUGACAUUUGCAUGACGCAGAUCAAACUCAACAUGUCCUGUUUUCUGACCUGGACCAAUGACAUUUGACUUCUAAAAGGGAGCACAAGAAAUGGCAUAUAGGCUAUCAUUCCUCCGGAGUUCACCUACUACCACCAUUGUGGAUGUGGGCCACUGGGCCCUACACGUUGCUGAGAUGUCCUCAGUCUUGGUGAAGCCCCAAAUGGAGUUAUCAGUUCCACUUUCCCUGUUUGUAUAUAUAUAUACACAUGCUGUUGGAUGGUUGGAGAAUUCAUUUAGCCCAAUUCUCUUCUCUAAUACACCCACUGUAAAAAAAAGAGAGAAAUCUGAUCAGACGGUGAAAAUGGGUAGCCUUGAAACUGAGAGAACAACCACAGGAUGGGCUGCCAGAGAUCCUUCAGGAGUAUUGUCUCCUUACACUUACACUCUUAGGUAUUCUCUAAUUUUGCUGUUUUGUUUUUUAAUUUUGUUCAAGGUUCAUUUCUGGUUCGUACAUGGUGAUUUGCUGUAAUAAUAAUCGUGUUUGCAGGAACACUGGUCCUGAGGAUGUUUUCGUUAAGGUUAUGUGCUGUGGAAUCUGCCACACUGAUCUUCAUCAAGCCAAAAAUGAUCUUGGCAUGUCAAACUACCCAAUGGUUCCUGGGUACUACUACAACUGUUUUCUUUAUGUUUCCAAGCCUGUUUCUUUAUCUUCAUGUUCAUGAGUCAAUGAAUUUCUUUUGGACUUUUUUGGAUUGUGAAUUUAUUACUUUUUUCCAGGCAUGAAGUGGUUGGUGAGGUGUUGGAAGUGGGGUCAGAUGUAAGCAAGUUCAGAGUUGGUGAUAUUGUUGGUGUUGGUUGUCUUGUUGGAUGUUGCAGAAACUGCCGACCAUGCGACUCAGACAAUGAACAAUACUGUCUCAAGAAGAUCUGGUCGUACAAUGAUGUUUACACUGACGGAAAACCCACCCAAGGUGGCUUUGCUGGUUCCAUGGUCGUUGAUCAAAAGUAAGAAUCAUAAACUAUAUGUGCUCUGCAUGUUUAUAGAGUAAUUGAACAGGCCAAGAUAAACUAGUUUCAGGGAUUAAAAAUAGCAUUUGUGACAUGAUAAACGCUAUCAGACCGAAAAAAAGUGAUACCAAAUACAAAAAUUGAUGUGAUGCUUUUGCUUAUUAGGUUUGUGGUGAAAAUCCCAGAAGGAAUGGCACCAGAACAGGUGGCACCGCUGUUAUGUGCAGGGGUGACAGUUUACAGCCCAUUGAAUCACUUUGGUUUAAUGGGGAGUGGGUUAAGGGGAGGAAUAUUGGGACUUGGAGGUGUAGGGCACAUGGGGGUGAAGAUAGCCAAAGCAAUGGGGCAUCACGUAACAGUUAUAAGCUCAUCUGAUAAGAAAAAAGUGGAGGCUUUGGAGCAUCUUGGUGCUGAUGACUACUUAGUCAGCUCCGACGCUGAAGGGAUGCAAAAGGCUGCUGAUUCACUUGAUUAUAUCAUUGACACUGUGCCUGUUUUUCACCCACUUGAGCCUUACCUUUCAUUGUUGAAACUCGACGGCAAGUUAAUCUUGACUGGUGUUAUUAACACCCCUCUUCAGUUUGUUUCCCCUAUGGUCAUGCUUGGUGAGUCUAUUUCUUUAACUUUGAACCUAUAUAUAGAUGCUUCUUUGUUGGCUGCUCUGGUUUUUUUUGAGUGGAAGGCUAAUUCUCUGUUUUCCCUGCCCAAAAUUUGUAUAGGGAGAAAGUCGAUUACAGGGAGUUUUAUUGGGAGCAUGAAGGAAACAGAGGAAAUGCUUAACUUCUGUAAGGAGGAAAAUUUGACCUCAAUGAUUGAGGUGGUGAAGAUGGAUUAUAUCAACACAGCAAUGGAGAGGCUGGAGAAGAACGAUGUUCGAUACAGAUUCGUCGUGGAUGUUGCUGGAAGCAAGCUUGAUCAAUAGAACCAAAUUAAAUACAAACACAAACUCUCUUUAAUCAACAAAGAAAUACUACAUGUUUAAACAUGACUGUUUGUCGUUGCUCUGUUUUCUCUCUUGUGUUCAACAUGCCUUGUGGUAAUAAACUAAAACAUAUAUGUACGAGUUACUUCUUCUUUUGUUAUUUCUGUUUUCCUUUUGAAGAUGGAAAUGCAUAAAUUAUAGAGCUUGUUUUCUUCUAAAUUGAUGAUGAACCAAGUCUUCUUUUUUUUUUUUUAAGUUAUAUUAGAUUAGUAGGCAAAUGACGAGGUAAAAUGAAUAUAUUUGGGGUUAGUUGGUGCCGGUGAUAUGUCCACUAAAAAUUUGGUAGUGGGUGAUGACUAUCAUGACGCUUUAGUGAGAGCGAUGCAUUACCCAAUUCUCUCCACAUAAUAUAUUCUCAACCUGCGGCCACCACUAUUCGAAUUUCUUUUUAUUUAUUUAAAAAAUCUUUAAACAGUAAAUUUAAUGAUGCAACAGGCUGACCUUUCAACUCCAUUUCAAGCAGUUUGAACUCAUUAAAUCGGGAUCGCGAGUCUUGAAUCACCAUUAUUCUACUCUAAUUUAGCUUGGUUAAUGACAGGGUUUUUGGUUUUAAAGAAAAACAGAAAAGAAAGAAUACUACCCUUUAACAAAAGGAAUCAUGUUAAGCCAGAAAGAGGAGAAGUGCCGGUUUUGUCGUUGGGCAGUGCAUAUAUUGGCUUGGCCGGCAAAUAUUUGCCAUCUUUAGUAUAUACAUUAUCGUUUAUUAGACCGGAGAUGCACGUGUAACGUUAUCAGGAUGAUCUAUUUUUUUGAAUCAAAAAAGAAAAUGUCCGUCACGUUGUGGGUCAAUGAAAUGCUUUUUAUUUGCAUUUUAAUUAUGAAUUAUUUUUAAGAUGCAUAAUGUUUUAUUUAGUUUUUUAUUUUAUAAAAAAAGAGUUAAUUUAGUUGUCUAUUGAUUUUUUUUAUUUUUUUAAUCUUUAAAAUUAUAAUUUUUAUCAAAUCACCCCAAAAUUAAUAGAAAAAUUAAUGUUUUUUUAACUUUGUUGACAUUUGAAUUGUCACGUGGAUGAUACGUCAACAUUUAAUUAAUUUUAAAAAAAUUAAAAAUUCAAAAAAAUAUAAAAAUCAUUGAUAUAUAUAAAUUAUUUUUAAAAUUUUAAAAAAUUAAUUAAUGUUGACAUGUCGUCCAUGUGGCAAUCCACGUGUAUGUCACGUCAACAAAAUUAACAAACAUUAAUUUUUCCAUCUAUUUUGGGGUGAUUUGAGAAAAAAUACAAGUCCAAGAACUAAAAAAGACAAUGAAUUAAAUGAAGAAUUAAAAUGACUUCUUCUUUUUUUUUUUGGUAAAGUUGUAGGGCCAAAAAAAUAUUAUGCCUUUUAAAAAAUAAGGUAAACGGUCACGUAAUCAUUCUAAAUAGGGCUCAUUCUUAUUUUGAUCAUUUAAAAAUUGUGUUAAUCUGAUUAUCAUCCUUAAAGAAAUUGAUCAAAUUUGCCACUUAGUUAUUAUCUCUCAAAUGCAAUACUAACAGUGCAUGUUCACAUAUUUUUUCUUGUUUUCCCCAAAAUAAUUAAUUUUUAUUAUAAACUAAGAGAAUUAUAGAAUGAACAAGAAAGAAGAAUAGAAAAUUGAAAGGAUGAUUCAACUUUCACUUGGGAUACAAAAAGCUUGUACUUGCCUUUUAUUUCUAAGGCCUCAAUCAUCAUAUAUUACAAAAAGAGAAUUAAAGCACCUUAUAAAUUCUUUAAGAGUUACAAGAGUUAUAAGAGAAUUAAUUUGGGGGGUUUUGAGAGUUAUAUGGACAUCCAUUUAACAAUGGAUUUACAACACUCCCCCUUAGAUGUCCAUUAAAGAAAAUAUGUCUCGUUAAGACCUUAUUAGGAAAAAUCUUAUGGUAUAAAAACCUAAUGAAGAAAAAAGAGUAAACAAUCUCCUAUUACAAGUUGUCUCAUUGAAAACCUUUACUAGAAAAACUAGUGGGACAAAACAUUGAUUAAAGGAAAAGAGUAUAGCGUGUGUAAGACCCCUUCCCUAUCAGACCGUCAGUCAUGAUAUCGGGAUCUCAUAUUCGUUAUCGAAACAACUAUGAUCACUCUAAAUAAUACAAUCUCAAAGCCCAAUUUCAGGCACAUGAAUGUGAUGGGCUCACACUACCUCAAGGCCCCAAAACAAGGUCAAAGAUCAACCAAAUCAAACCAAAAUUCAACCAAAACUAGUAUGUAAGGAUGAAUCUUUUCGAGAAAACGAGGAAUAAUACAUGCACGGAAUGGGUAAAUGUAUUAAAGUCAAUUCGACCAAGCUGUCAAUUUUCAAGUUGAAAAUAAACUUGCAACAAAUUUUUUGAUGGGAUCCAAGCAUUUCUAGAUUAAGAUGUCUUCAUAGCUUUCGAAGAUCUAUCUCUUAGCUUUGAAACACACUUUAAAUCACUUGACUUCGAGUUUAAGAACUCAAUUUAUGAUCGUUUUAAUGAAAAUUGCACGAGUAGAAUUUUUGGACGGGACUAUUACAAAAUUUAGGAGUUUUGGGCUUUUAAUUCGAGUUUAAAUCAUAUUGGGUUCAGGUUUUAGGCUUAAUUUAUUGUAUAUGAGUCCAAUAUUUUAUUUAUCAGCUCUUAUUAUUUUAUUAUUAUUUUAUUCUAAAAUUUUUAUAAUUAUUAAGUAUUUUAAGUUAUUUAGGAGUUUGAUGUCAAUAAGAAAGUUUAGUUUAAAACUACUUCUUAUUUAGGUUCAUUAGAUUUCUAGUAUACUUAAUAGUUUUAUUUAGAUUUAUUUAACUAACCUAUAUAAAGGCCUUUGCAUUGUACAUAAUUUAAUCAAUUCAUUAUUAUUCAACAACUUCUCUUUUGAGUAAAUAAAAUCUCUUUAGCCGCUUGAAAAGGGUUGUGGAUUCUUCUUGUUUCCAAGGCUCCUUAGGACUUCUACAUGCCACGUUCCAUCUUUUUCAUCUAUCUUCUUUAUUUUCUUUUUUAUUGUUCUAUUUUAUUUAUCUUAGUUAUUUAUUUUAAUUGGUUUCUUUAAAGUUUUUAUCUGACUAGAUUUGUUUGUAUUUCAAGUUGGGUCAGAAUUUAAGCUUAUUUCUGAACAUCUAGAGCCCUAAGUCAAAUCUACAAAUUGGACAAAUUUACGAUCAUGCUUUCGCUAUCAUUUGUAUCACCAAAACGAUUUACCAUUUUUAUUCAAGUUGAUAAGCUCAAAAUAAGAUUAAAAUAUGAUCCAAAUACUUAUCCAAACUUAAAACGAGUAUACGAAAGCUUGCUGGGCGAUCAGAGGUCAUUUAGAGACCAAAAAGUAAAAUUUCAAACUUUCGAGUGCUCAUCGCGACUUUAGGGAUUCCUCGUCGGGAUGUCACAUAUUAACUUAGCUCAUCGAAACCUCAAGGCCAUGAUUCCCACACCAAGGGCCUUGCUAAAAAUUGCCACAGGUCGACCCUUUUGGUGUAAAACAACCCUCACCCUGGUAGCACAAACAUCAACAUCCACGCAAAAUUCAACCAUAAAAUCAGGUAAUGCCAACACGAGAGUUGUGCAAACAACUUGUUUUAAUUUUUGGAAGGCUUCAUUAGUAGUAACAGUCCACUCCCAAGUCGCUUAUUUCUUGGGCAAAUCGGUAAGUGGUCGCUCAAGUGUAAACACCCCCUAACCCUUUUCUGACAUCGGAAUAGGAUUACGGAGCAUUACCGGUCACUACAGUUUAUAUCACGAAUCAUAUAAAAUUAAUCAUUAUAAAAUUUAGCAAUUUAUCUUAUUGUCUCUUAAACGGACAUUCAGGGUCCAAUAAAGAUAUUAAAAAUAAAUCGAAAUCUAUUCGGAUGCUUAUAAAAUUUUUUAUAAAAUUUUCAAAAUUUCCCUUAAUGAACAGUACCACACGCCUGUGUGAUUUUGAGAUAUGCCCGUGUGUCUAUAUGACAUGCCAGUGUUGUUACCCUGUGUGACUCACACGGACAGAACACGCUCGUGUCUUCCACCCGUGUACUUUUCCGACUUGUUGCUCAUGAACAAACUAGUUUUACACGGCCAAGACACAUGCCCGUGUGCUUAGCCCGUGUGGAUUUAUUUUCAAUUCAAACCUAGUGCAGUUUUCACACGGCCAGGCACAUGCCUGUGUACUGUGGCCUUAUGCUUCACACGGCUGAGACACACGCCCGUGUCUCUGCCCAUGUGGCCAUACCUGAGUAUUCUAUUUGCCAAAUUUUAGAUGCAGGGGACACGCAGUCUACUCAUAUGCCCGUGUAAGGGCCGUGUGUCUCGCAUAGUCUAAUCACACGCCCGUAUGCCAGGCUGUGUGGACUCAAAAUGAACCUUAUAGUUCAAGUUUACCAACCUUGCAAACUUCAGUAACAAGCAAAAUUUAAAUCUAAUCUUUCAACCAAUCCAAAACAUGAUUAAAUACACCCAUUUCACAUUAUAAUCAUCAAAAUGUUACGAUCCAACUCGAGUGUAUUAGUAAGUGUUUAACAUAAAACUUCCAGACAAUGUACUUUGGUGCUAAUUAAAUCACUUCAAAUUAGACUAUAUAAAUGACCAUAUUGUAAACAUAGACUUUGCAUUCAUGGGUUAACCAUUAUCAUUCUUACACUAUUAUCAUUCACAUUCAAAAUGAUUUCCAAAAGAUAACCUAGGUACAUGCCAUUUCUCAAAAUAAGAUACAUCACCAAGUAUUUGAAUUCGGGCUUGACUUGGAAGCUGAGUUGUUAGUCACUUUCGUAUCUAACCUGCGCACGGAAACAAACCGUAUGCUGAGUAUACACUCAGUGGUAUUUCUAUAAACCAACACUUAAAAACAAAUAUUAACACAAAAGGCAUUUAAGCUAUUAACUUCAAAUAUAAUAGCAUUACUUGUAUUCAAAGUUCUUUCUCAACGAAACAUUUAGUUCAAUAAUAUGUCAAUCAAUAACAGUGUAAUUUUAGUACAGUAGCACAGUCAUUUAGUUGUCCAGUACAGUAAAUUUAACCCUAUUAACAUAAUUCUGACUUUGGCGGAUAUACGGAUGUAACUAACACACCAGUACGGCACAUUGUGCCUUAUAGGCUUUGCCGAGGUAAACAAUAGUAGUACGGUACUAUGUACCUCAUCGGAUUAAACCAAAGUAACAGAAACAGUAGACACAUGAAGUGCCUCAUCGACACAAAGUCGAAGUAACAAUACGACACUGUUAGUGCCUCAUCGACUCAAGGUCGAAGUAUCCCUGUACACUUCCAAUCCUAUGGCAUGCCAAUUAUAUCCAACCUAGCCCGACACUAUUAAUAGGGUAUUCAUUUCACUUAAAUUUUCAGAUAACAGUCAAUAUACAUUGCAAUUCAAGUAUUCACAACUCAAUUCAAUUCAAUACAAUAAUAGCAUUACUUACCUUUAUAUUACUUAUUAUAUAUAUGUAAUAAAUGCAAUAAUAAUUUUUAAGUUCGGUUUAUAGAAAUACAAACCGUAAUUCUCGAUUUACUCUUCGUCAACCUUCUCUUUUCCUUUCUUUGUCGAUGUCUCCAGUACUAUGUUAGCUACAGAAAUUAAACAAUUCAUACUAUUAAUACAAUAACAAUUCACAAUGAAUAAUUGAAUUUCUAUUCAAUUCAAACCUCAAUUUCAAUUUAAUCUUGAUUAACACUUUUACUUCUAUCACUCACUUCAUACUUUGUCUUUAUUCAAUUUCCUAUCAUAUUCACAUUAACCAUCAAAUAUUCAUAGUAAAACUCUAGUUUCAAAUUUCUUUCAAUUUAGUCCCUCAAACAUAAAACUUAUAGCUCCUUUUAUAAUUUAAUCCUUUAAUCAAUUCUAACUUGAAAUUUAUUCAAUUAAAUCCCUAAUUCAAUAAUUUGUUCAGCAUAACCCAUGUCUAAAAAUCAUCUAACUUUCAAAAUUUCCAUUUACAUCAAGUAAUAUUUGUCUCUAGGACUCCAAAAACAUCAAAAUUAUAAAGAAAGUGACUUAAUUGACUUACCAAAUUAAACUUCAAGCUUCAAAACCCUAAUUUUUCCUUUUUCUUUUCUCCUUUCUUUUUCUCCCAAUUUUCAUUCCCACUUUCUGUUUCUUUCCUUUGUUCUUUUUUUUUAUUUUAUUAUUAAAUUAUUAUAUUAUAUUAAUAUAUUAUUAUAUUAAUUUCUUAAAUACUAAGUAUAUAAUAUAUGUAUAUUAUACAUACACAUGGAAUAAUAUUUUCCAUACAUUUGGCACUAUUCCCUUUUAUGGGUUAUUUACUAAUUUAGUCCCUUCACUUUUCUUUAGUCUAUAAUUAAACUUUUACACUAUAUUCAAUCUAGUCCUAACACUAAAUUAACAUUAAUUCAAGCUAAUUCACUUAAUUAAAAUCUAAUUAAUCACUCAACUAGCUUUGUAAAUAUUUCUAAUAAAUAUUUACGAACCUGAUUUCUAAAAUAGUAAGCUAGAAACACGAUUUCCUAUACUCAUAAAUUUCAGGUCAUUACAUUUCUCCCCCUUAAUAAAUUCCGUCCUCGAAAUUUACCUGAGAAGAGAUGGGGGUAUUGAGAUCUCAUUGUAUCUUUCGGUUCCCAUGUUGCCUAUUCAAUUUUAUGACUUUUCUAUAAUACUUUCACUAAGGGAACCUGUUUAUUACACAAUUCUUUUACCUCUACGGCUAGUAUUUUAACUGGUUCUUCUUCAUAUAACAAAUCAGGUUGAAUUAAAAUAUCCUCAGUAGAAAUAAUAUGAGAUGGAUCUGAACGAUAUCUUCUAAACAUAGAGACAUGAAAAACAUCGUGAAUCUUCUGUAAUUCCAGCGGUAAAGCCAAUCGAUAGGCAACCGGUCCCACUCUUUCCACAAUCUUGUAUGGUCUAAUAUAACGCGGACUCAAUUUACCUUUCCGACCAAAUCUCAGAAUCUUCUUCCAAGGAGAAACUUUGAGAAAUACUUUGACCUCAACUGAAUAUUCAAUGUCUCGACGUUCAAAUCUGCAUACGAUUUCUGCCCAUCAAAAGCUGCUUUCAGUCUUUCUCGAAUCUUCUUGAUAGUACCCUCUGUUUCUUGAAUCAAUUCUGGUCCAACCACUUUCUUCUCAUUCAAUUAUGUCUAACACACUGGUGACCGACAUCUUCGACCAUAUAAAGCUUCAUACAGUGCCAUUUGAAUGCUUGAUUGAAAACUAUUAUUAUACACAAAUUCAGCUAAUGGUAAAUAACGUUUCCAACCUAAUUCAAAAUCAAUUAUACAAGCUCGAAGCAUAUCUUCUAAAAUCUGGAUAACUUUUUCUGACUGUCCAUUGGUCUGUGGAUGAAAAGCUGUGCUAAAAUGAAGUCAAGUACCAAGAGACUCAUGUAACUGUUUCCAAAACCUCGAUGUAAACCGUGGAUUUCGAUCUGAAAUUAUCGAUACAAGAAUUCUAUACAGUCUCAAAAUUUCCCAGAUGUAAGUUUCUGCAAGUUUUUGAAGUGACCAAUCCAUUCUGACUGCUACAAAAUGAGCUGACUUGGUAAGUCGAUCAACAAUCACCUAGAUAGCAUUUUUCUUACUUGUCGACAAUGGUAACCCUGUUACAAAAUCCAUUAUGAUGCAAUCCUAUUUCCAUUCAGAAAUAUUAAUAGGUUGGAGUAAACUAGUUGGAACCUAAUGUUCGGCUUUAGCUCGCUGACAUGUCAAACAUUUAGCCACAAAUUCCACUAUAUCCCUUUUUAUACCUAGCCGCCAAUACAGUUCCCAUAAAUCUCGGUACAUUUUUGUUCCUUCAGGAUGUAAUGCAAAUGGACUAUCAUGUGCUUCUCGGAGUAUUAACUCUUUCAAUCCUGAAACAUUCAGAACACAAAUCUGAUUACGAGAUCUCAGACAAUGAUGUUCAUCAAUGCUGAAAUUCUCUGCUACACCACUCUGAACCAUUUCUUUUCUCUUCAUUAGCUUAUCAUAUUCUAACUGAGCUGACUUGAUUUGUUCAAACAUCAUUGGUUUCAUUCUUAAUUCAACCAAUAAGCCUCUAUCAUCACUAAUACUAAGCUAUGCAAACAUCGCUCGUAAUUCGAUUGCAGCUUUUCUACUCAAUGCAUCAGCUACCACGUUAGCUUUAUCCGAAUGAUAGUCAAUAACACAAUCAUAAUCUUUUAAAAGUUCUAUCCACCGACGCUAUCUCAAAUUCAAUUCUUUCUGUGACAGAAGAUACUUGAGACUUUUAUGAUCAGUGUAAAUGUAGCAUUUCUCUCCGUACAAAUAAUGCCUCCAGAACUUCAAAGCAAAAACCACAGCUGCUAGCUCCAAAUUGUGAGUCGAAUAAUUAUGUUCAUGCAGUUUCAAUUGCCGUGAAGCAUAAGCUAUCACUUUCCCACUUUGCAUCAAUACACAUACGAGACCAUUUAAAGAAGCAUCACUAUACACAAUGAAAUCUUUUUUUGACUCUAGUAAAGUCAACACUGGUGCUUCUGUUAACAUCUGUUUCAAUGUUUCAAAACUUUUCUGACACUGCUCAUUCCAAACAAAUGGAACAUUCUUUUGUAACAAUUUCAUAAUCAGUAAAGCUAUUUUUCAAAAUCCGUUCACGAACCUUCUAUAGUACCCAGCCAAUCCAAGGAAGCUACGUACCUCUGACACAUUUUUAGGAGUUUUCCACUGUACAAUUGCUUCGAUUUUCUUUGGAUCCACUCUAAUUUCUUCUGCUGAUACCAUAUGACCAAGAAAUACUACUUCUGACAGCCAAAAUUCGCAUUUACUCAAUUUCCCAUACAAUUGUUUCUUCCGUAACAUUUGCAAAACAAUUCGAAGAUGCUGAUCAUGUUCAGAUUCAGACUUUGAAUAUACCAAAAUGUCAUCAAUGAAGACUACUACAAAUUGGUCCAAGUACGGCUGAAAAUCUGGUAAAUUUGAUCCAUAAAAGCAUCUGGGUCAUUUGUUAACCCAAACGGCAUCACCAAGAAUUCAUAAUACCUAUAUCGUGUUCGAAAUGUUGUCUUUGGUACGUCACUUUCUUUCACCUUUAACUGGUAAUAGCUCGAUCUUAAAUUAAUCUUCGAAAACACUAAAGCUCAUUUCAAUUGAUCAAAUAAAUUAUCAAUACGAGGUAACGAGUAUUUAUUCUUGACGGUCACCUUGUUCAACUGUCGAUAAUCAAUACAUAACCACAUCGAACCAUCUUUCUUCUUAACAAAUAACACUAAAGCUUCCCAAGGUGAUGUACUAGGUCGUAUAAAACCUCGAUCCAAUAAAUCUUGCUGUUGUACCUUCAACUCCUUCAGCUCAGUUGGUGACAUACGAUAUGGAGGUAUUGACACUAGAUCCGCACCCGAGUAUACUUCAAUCACAAAUUUAACUUCCCGAUCAGGAGGUAAUCCAGGCAACUCUUCAGGGAAUACAUCAGGAAAUUCACAUACAGUUCAAAUUUUACUACAUUUAGUUUCCACCGAAUCCGAAUUAAUAACAUAUGCUAAGAAAGCAGUACAACCCUGAUAAAGAAGCUUACUAACUUUAAUCGCCGAAAUUAUACGAACUGUUCCAUUGGUCCGAAUACCAUUUACUUCAAUCUGAUCAUCGCUUUCAUUCUAAACAGUGAAUUUCUUUUUAUAACAGUCUAAAAUUACUUCAUGUUCUGAUAGCCAGUCCAUAUCCAGUAUAAUGUCAAAGUCGCCAAAUGGCAUAAUCAAUAGAUCAAUAGGAAAAAUUUUAUCUUGAAUCACUAAUGGACUUCUUCGACAUAUUCGAUUCACUAACAUUGUUUGCCCCAGAGGACUAGACACCUCCACAAUUACUCUAGACAGUUCAGGUUUUAAUUUUCCCAUCUCAACUAGUUUUGUAUUAACAUAAGAAUGUGUCGACCCCGGAUCUAUUAAAGCAUAAACGGGUUCUGAAUGUAAAAGAAAUAUACCUGUCACCACAUCAUGCGUAUCUCCUUCUUCUCGAGUUCUUACAACAUAUGCUCAGGCUGGAGCUUUAACUUCUGAUUGUUGAGUGACAACUUCACUUGUUCUUUUAACACCUCCUCUACUGACUGAACCACCUCUGCCUGACCCUCGACAUCUAGAAGCAGAUUCAGAUCUCUGUGAUACUGUUGGUGCUGCUUUAUCAAUCUUUGGACAGUCUUUUACAAAAUGAUCAGUGGAUCCACAUCGAAAACAACCUCCAGUUAAUCUCCAGCACUCACCCCGAUGUUUAUUCCCACAAUGUUGACAUUCUGGAAUUUCAGUACUCCUAGAUGGCCCUCUAAAGUUAUUAGUGGAAACUGUAACACCCCCUAACCCUUUUUUGACAUCGAAAUAGGAUUAUGGAGCAUUACCGGUCACUACAGUUUAUAUCACGAAUCAUAUAAAAUUAAUCAUUAUAAAAUUCAGUAAUUUAUCUCAUUAACUCUCAAAAUGGACAUUCAGGACCCAAUGAAGAUAUUAGAAAUAAAUCGAAAUCUAUUUGGAUGCUUAUAAAAGUUUUCAUAAAAUUUUCAAAAUUUCCCUUAAUGAAUAGUACCACACACUUGUGUGAUUUCGAGACACGCCCGUGUGUCUAUAUAACAUGCCCGUGUUGUCACCCCGUGUGACUCACACGGCUAGGAUACAUUCGUGUCCUCUACUCGUGUACUUUUUCGACUUAUUGCUCAUGAACAAACUAGUUUUACAUGGCUAAGACACACGUCGUGUGCUUAACCCGUGUGGAUUUAUUUUCAAUUCGAACCUAGUGCAGUUUUCACACGGCCAGACAAAUGCCCAUGUACUGUGGCCUUGUGUUUCACACAGCUGAGACACAUGCCCGUGUCCCUGCCCAUGUGGCCAUACCUGAGCAUUCUGUUUGCCAAAUUUUAGAUGCAGGGGACACACGGUCUACUCAUAUGCCUGUGUAAGGACCAUGUGUCUCACACGAUCUAAUCACACGCCCGUGUGCUAGGCCGCGAGGACUCAAAAUGAACCUUAUAGUUCAAGUUUACCAACCCUGCAAACUUCAGUAACAAGCAAAAUUUAAAUCCAAUGCAAAAUUUAAAUCCAAUCUUUCAACAAAUCCAAAACAUGAUUAAAUACAUCCAUUUCACAUUAUAAUCAUCAAAAUGUUACGAUCCAAAUCGAGUGUAUUAGUAAGUGUUUAACAUAAAACUUCAAGACAGUGUACUUUGGUACUAAUUAAAUCACUUCAAAUUAGACUAUAUAAAUGAUCAUAUUGUAAACAUAAACUUUGCAUUCAUGGGUUAACCAUUAUCAUUCUUACACUAUUAUCAUUCACAUUCAAAAUGAUUUCCAAAAUAUAACCUAGGUACAUGCCAUUUCUCAAAAUAAGAUACAUCACCAAGUAUUUGAGUUCGGGCUUGGCUUGGAUGCUGAGUUGUUAGUCGCUUUCGUAUUAAACUUACGUACGGAAACAAACCGUAUGCUGAGUAUACACUCAGUUGUAUUUCUAUAAACCAACACUUAAAAAUAAAUAUUAACACAAAAGGCAUUUAAGCUAUUAACUUCAAAUCUAAUAGCAUUACUUGUAUUCAAAGUUCUUUCUCAACGAAACAUUCAGUUUAAUAAUGUGACAAUCAAUAACAGUGUAAUUUUAGUACAGUAGCACAGUCAUUUAGUUGUUUAGUACAGUAAAUUUACGCCUAUUAACAUAAUUCGGACUUUGGCAGAUAUACGAAUCUAACCAAGACACCAGUACAACAAAUUAUGCCUCAUCGGCUUUGCAGAGGUAAACAGUAGCAGUACGAUACAUAGUACCUUAUCGGAUUAAAUCGAAGUAACAAAAACACUACGACACACGAAGUGCCUCAUCGACACAAAGUCGAAGUAACAGUACGACACUAUUAGUGCCUCAUCGACUCAAGGUCGAAGUAUCCCUAUACACUUUCAAUCCUAUGGCAUGCCAAUUAUAUCCAACCUAGCCCAACACUGUUAAUAGGGUAUUCAUUUCACUUAAAUUUUCAAAUAACAGUCAAUAUACAUUGCAAUUCAAAUAUUCACAACUCAAUUCAAUUCAAUACAAGAAUAACAUUACUUACCUCUAUAUUACUUAUUAUAUAUAUAUGUAAUAAAUGCAAUAAUAAUUUUUAAGUUCUGUUUAUAGAAAUACAGAUCGUAAUUCUAGAUUUACUCUUCGUCAACAUUCUAUUUUCCUUUAUUUGUCGAUAUCUCUGAUACUAUGUUAGCUACAGAAAUUAAACAAUUCAUACUAUUAAUACAACAACAAUUCACAAUGAAUAAUUGAAUUUCUAUUCAAUUCAAACCUCAAUUUCAAUUUAAUCCUAAUUAACACUUUUACUUCUAUCACUCAAUUCAUACUUUGUCUUUAUUCAAUUUCCUAUCAUAUUCACAUUAAUCAUUAAAUAUUCAUAGUAAAACCCUAGUUUCAAAUUUCUUUCAAUUUAGUCCCUCAAACAUAAAACUUAUAGCUUCUUUUAGAAUUUAAUCCUUUAAUCAAUUCUAACCUGAAAUUUAUUCAAUUAAAUUCCUAAUUCAACAAUUUGUUCAACAUAACCCAUGUCUAAAAAUCAUCUAACUUUCAAAAUUUCAACUUACAUCAAGUAAUAUUUGUCUCUAGGACUCCAAAAACAUCAAAAUUAUAAAGAAAGGAACUUAAUUGACUUACCAAAUUAAACUUCAAACUUCAAAACCCUAAUUUCCCCUUUUUCUUUUCUCCUUUUUUUUUCUCCCAAUUUUCGUUCCCCACUUUCUGUUUUUUUCCUUUGUUCUUUUUUUUUCUUUUUUAUUUUAUUAUUAAAUUAUUAUAUUAUAUUAAUAUAUUAUUAUAUUAAUUUCUUAAAUACUAAGUAUAUAAUAUAUGUAUAUUAUACAUACACAUGGAAUAAUAUUUUCCAUAAAUUUGGCACUAUUCUUUUUUAUGGGUUAUUUACUAAUUUAGUCGCUUCACUUUUAUUUAGUCUAUAAUUAAACUUUAACACUAUAUUCAAUCCAGUCCUUACACUAAAUUAACAUUAAUUCAAGCUAAUUCACUUAACUAAAAUCUAAUUAAUCACUCAACUAGCUUCGUAAAUAUUUCUAAUAAAUAUUUACGAACCCUAUUUUCUAAAAUAGUAAGUCAGAAACAAGAUUUCCUAUUCCCGUAAAUUUCAGGUCAUUACAUUAAGUAUGCCAUACCCUUAGAUAAAACAACGGUAAUACCUCGAUAGACCCAAAAAAAGGCAUUAGUUCCCUGAUGCAAGUGGGGGUUGGCUAGUGAAGAACACAAUCAAGUUUUGAAGGAUCCAUAGCUACUAACCCCUUGGUAAAUGGUAUGCCCUAAGUAGUCUACUUUUGACGCUUCAAAACAACAUUUUGAUUGUUUGGCGUAUAGCUUAUGUUUCCAUAAGAUUUGAAAGACCUCCCUUAAAUGAGAUAAAUGAUCUGUCUAGGAUACAAAAUAUACUAAUAUAUCAUAAAAAAGACAAGUACUAACCUUCUAAAGAGAGGCUUGAGCACAAGAUUUAUGAGAGACUGAAAGCUCGAAGAGGUGUUGGUGAGCUCGAAGGGCAUGACAAGAAAUUCGUAAUGCCCCUCAUGUGUUUUGAAAGGUCGUUUUAUGAAUAUCCAGCUCCCACAUGCGAAUUUAGUGAUAACACGAAUGUAGGUCUAAUUUAGUAAAGAAACAAUCUUACCCAAGCUCAUCCAACAAUUCUUUGAUAACAAGAAUGGGAAAACGGUCUAAAUGGGGAACUUUGUUUAGUAACUACUUUGGAGAAUAAGAGGUCGAUAAAAUAUGGAUGGAACCAGGUUGAAUACCGCUUAAGGAACACAGUUGAUCAUAGUGUCUAAACUACAUGGUUAAGGGCAAGAAGUUCCAUUCAAUGGAGCCUAAUGAAUGUAACCAUUGCCUACCCAAAAUGAGGUCACAACCUUUUAAAGGUAAGACCAAAAAGUCAGUAGAAAAUUUACUACCUUGGGCACUCCAAUUGAUGCUUCGACAUAGUCCCUCAGUCACUAACCUUUUUUUUUCCAUUUGUUAAAGUGACCUUAAGCUUGGCAAUGAGGUUGACGUGUAAAUUGGCUUUCCAUUCCAUUUGUGUCCGCAAAAUUGUGAGUGUUGCCAAGUAAACCAAAAUGAUAGCCCAAACCCCAUUAACCUGAGUUAAAACCUCAUAGUAUCAUUCCUUAUGAGCCUUGCAUGGCAUGCAAAAAUAGCACUAGUGUCAAAAGGGAAUCCCCCUCUGUCUCUGGUUCUUCCAGUGAUUCUUGGCAAUCCUCGAGUACUUCCCCAUCAACAUUGUUUCAAGGUUCCAACACUAGAUGAUAUAGCUGGGACUUAUUGCAUUUAUGGCCUUUGACAUAUUUAGCCCCACACCAAAAACAAAGUCAUUUCCCUCUUCUAUCCUUGAUUUCAGCUUACGAUAGUGUUUUGGUAUGCACCUUUUUGCUAAUAGUGUUGGCUAGGGUUUGGUUGGAAAUAAAUGGGAAGGUCUAGUGUAACACCCCUAACCCAUGUCCCUUGUCGAAAUAGGAUUUUAGAGCAUUACCGAAGUUUACUGAUCAAAUAGAUAUAAAUUACAAACAUUUCAUAUCAUAUAAUAUUCAAGUCAUAAACCAAUCAAACUCAUAUAUAUUGUCCCUUAUUCGAGCCCUUGAGCCAAAAUCACGUAUUAGAAACAAAUCAAGACUAAUUCAGAAACUCGGGAAAUUUUUCAAAAAAUAUUAAAAAUUUUCAAAGCUACAGGGUUCACACGGGCAUGUGGCCACCAGGCCGUGUGACUCACACGGCCAGGAGACACGCUCGUGUCUUAGAUUGUGUGGGCAUUCAAAAUAGGGACACAAGGCCGUGUCCCAACCCGUGUCCAUGCCCGUAUAACUCUCUGACUUGGGUCACACAGCCAAGCCACACGCCCAUGUGCCAGACCGUGUGCUUUUUCGAAAUGGCUUCGCACGCCCGUGUGCUAGCCGUCUGUCUCAUACGGCCGAGUCACACACCCUUGUGUCUGGUCAUGUGGACUCAGAAUGUACCUUAAACAACAAGCUUAUCAUUCCCUGCAAACUUGGACACUAAGUAAUUCAAAAAUCAUUCGUUUAACCAGUUCAAAACACAAUCAAACACAUUUAAAUCAUGUCAAAACAAUCAUCCUAGGUGUCUAACCAAUGUACCUUCAUUGGUACCACAAUUAUAUCAUCAAAUUAUAUCAUUAAAGCAUUAUUCAAGUUCAAAUUAUAAACAUACCUAAUUUAAUCCAUUUUGCCUAGUUUUUGAACACUUAAACAUCAAUUUAACAUGCCAUAGUAUAACUUCAAACACAAACACAUAUUCAUAUGUAUAUUCUAAACCAUUAUUAAACUUAUAACCUCAUUUACAAUCAAACCACAAAAUAAUUAUUAUUUAGACACCCUAGGUACAUGCCGACACAAAAGGAUAAACAUCACCACAUUUGAGAUCGAGAUCGUUGUUGGAUGCUGAAUCGACGAUCAAAAGUUAAGUACCUAACCUAUGCACGGAAAACAAAACCUUACGCUAAGUAAAACUCAGUGGUAUUUCUAUAAUCCGAAUAUUUAAAGACAAGCGAUUAAAAAUGUAUAAUUGAAACAUAAACACAUAUUAAUAUUUAAAAAAUCAUCACAACUACUAUAUGCCAACUCUUUGAAUUCAUAAAUGAUAGCAUAUCAUAAUUCAUUUGUUUCACAAUAUCCCAAUUCUCAUACUUGCUAUAUAAAUAGCUUUUCACAAUUUGAUUCACAUUUCAUUCAAAUAAUGGCAUUAUCUAUUUCAUAUUCAAUUAAUGUAUCUCAUCUUCAUAUUUCAAAUCACUAUUCCAAUUUCAAUUCACAUACAAUAUCAUCCAAUAUCAAUCAUAGUACUAUUUUAUUUAAUUACCCCUAUUAACACAACUCAGACUCGGACGGAUACACGGAUCCAACCAAUACACUAGUUUGGCACCCAGUGUCUUAUCGGAUAAUUCGAAGUAGUAAAUUAACACCCAGUGUCUUAUCGAAUAAAUUCGAAGUCGUAAAUUGACACCCAGUGUCUCAUCAGUUAAACCGAAGUAAAUUGGCACCCAGUGCCUUAUCGACUCGAAGUCGAAGAAAUCCUUAAACUCUUCCAAUCCUAUGGCAUACCAUCUAUACCUGACUCAGCCCGAUAUAGUUAAUAGGGUUUCAAUUCACUUUCCAAAUACAACAAAUAUCCAAAUUUCACAUUAGCACAUUUACUCAUAUAUAUAUAUAUAUAUUCAAUUCAAAUAAUCAAUACAUUCAUAAUAUAUCACUUCAAUCCAUUCAAUCAACUUUAAUUCAAUUCAAUAUCAAAGUAUCAAAUACCCACCUCAACACUUACCAUAUGCAAUAAAUUGAAUUAUUACAAAUUAACAACUAAGUUCGGAUUAUAGAAACACAAACCAAGAAUUCCGAGCUAUUCCUCGUCGACUUUAUCUUUCCCCUUUUUAGUCGAGGAUUUCGGUACGACGUUAGCUACAGAAUUAAAACAAUUAAAAUUCAUCAAUACAAUACAAUUCAAUUUCGCAUUGCAUAUUUCAAUUUUUUCUCAAUAUUUUCCUAAUUUUCAAUUUAGUCCCUAAACCAAGACUAACUUUAUUUCUUUACAAUUAAUCCUAUACUUUCACAAAAAUUUCACUUUAAACUAAAUUUAACUCCCUAUUUUCACUUAAAUCCAUAAAUUUUGAAACUUUCACAAUUUAGUCCCUAUUAUUCAAAAUUUACAAUUUAUUCUACAAUUUAAUCCUUUUUCACUUCUAGCUUAAAAAUCUAUCAAUUUAAUCCCUAAUACUAAAAUUAUUCAACAUUAACAACAUUUAAAAACUCAAUAAUUUCUAAAAUUUUUACAUGGGUCGGGUAAUAUUUAACACCAGGAUUCUAAAAACAUAAAAAUUACAAGAAAAGAGGCUAAAUGGACUAACUAAUUGAACGUGGAAACUUUGAAACCAUAGCCUUGUCUUUUUCCUUUCUUUCUUUCCCCUUUUUCUUUUCUUUCUUUUUCUUUCUGUUAUAAUAUAUAUACUUAAAUAUUAAGUAAACAUAUUUUAUUAAUAUAUACAUAUGUAUAUUAAAUUUACAUAUGUAAUCACUAAUACCAUCCACUUGUUGAAAUAAGGUUUAAUUGCUUCUUUAGUCCUUUUAAAAAUUUUUAAUCUAUAAUUUAACUUUCACCCAAUAGGCAAUUUAGUCCUUAUACCUAAUUAUUCUUAAUUCAUGUAAAUUCACUUAACCAAAACCUAAUUAACUACAAAACUAACUUCGUAAAUAUUUUUCAUAAAUAUUUAUGAGUUCAAUUUACGAAAAUAGAGUCUCGGGAAUACACUUUUUGACACCCCUGACUAUCAGGUCGUUACAUCGAAGGUGUCCACCAUCGCCUAAGGUAAGUGGUUUUCUCCUUAUGUUAGCCAAUAUUAUCUCCACCUGCCUUGCUAGCAAAUACCCUUCUACAAAAUCUUUUGGCUUGAACAAACUUAAGUACUGCCCGAUGUCUUCCUUCAGGUUACUUACAAAUAUACUUAGUGCAUAGGGCUCGAGUAAGUGUAACUGGUUAGCUUAUAAACUCGUCGUGGUAGUGGUCGACUGUGGAUACCUGCCGAAAAGAAACUAAGUCCGCCAUAGGGUUUUAGAAAGAUGUAAAGCCAAACCUGUCUUUCAAGAUUUUUGCAUAAUUCUCCCAUUUUAAGAGAUGGAAACCACCUUAUCUUUGGGUAUAAAAAUGGUGCCAAUCAAGUGCUUUUCCUUCUAGAUUUAACAUCAUGGUACGAACCUUUUCCCCCAUCUGUUACCCUUUCUGCCUCAAAAUAUUGUUCGAGUUUGGACCACCACCCUUAAUAGUCUGUGCCGUCGAUCUUUGCGUAGUCAAGAUUAUGAGAGUGAAACUGAUGGUCAACGUAAUCUCCACGUACAUUUGAGUGCAAGCUGUCGAGUGUCAUAGUCGGUGUCACCAGUUAAGCUACCCUUAGUGGAUUGCCCAAAACCCCUUUAUACUUAUCCUAUGAUUAGCUCGAUACAGGAGUAGAAGGAUGUAACACCCCUUACCCGUAUUCAUCGCCGGAAUAGGGUAGGAGGCAUUACCGGAGUUUACCGAAUUAAUUUUCCGUUAAUACGAGUUAAAUACUAUUUAUUAACUAAAACAUGUCAUGGUGUCCUUUAGAUGGGCCUCCAAAGCCCAAAACAUACUUCGAGACCAAACUAGAAUUAAAUCGAAACCAUAGGGAAUUUUUCGCAAAAUCCCAAAGUGUUUUUUUUUUUUUGCUCAAUAUAACCCUUUUAUAAAUAUCUAACCUUCCCUGCAAUUUUUAAAACCGAGACCAAUCCAACCAACCAAUUCAUUUCAAUCAAUUUAAUACAAAAUUAUACUUCUAUUAUAAUUAUACUAUUUAACAUACUCAUCAUUCUUUACUUUAAUGUAUAUUCAUUAAACAAGUCUCAAUAUUUAUAUAAUCACCAAGCCUUAUACAUGCCAUAUAAAUCAAAAAGGAAAUUUACAAAAGCUACCGGAGAUAAUCUGGAUAGUGUGAUCCUCUGUGUUGAUCCGAUCCUCCGUAUACUUCCACGUCAAUCUACAAGAGACAUUGAAUACACUCAAAUAAGCUUAUAAAAGCUUAGUAAGUUCAUAGGCAUAAAACAUAAAUCUUACCAAAUAUUUAUACACUUAUACUAUAUACACAAUUAUUAAGUUCACCUGUCAAUCACAGUCAUUGGUGAGUUCCCUAUAUAAACUCACUACCACUUAUCCAUUUCCAUUAAUUCUUUUAGGCCCAUUUUUCAUAUAUCAUUCUUUAACCAAAUUAGGGAAUGGUAAAGGAAAAUUGAGUACUUCACUUUCACUUUGCCAUAGUAUAACUAUGGUCUUGCAUAUGAUCACUUAUCACUUUUUAAAAUCAUAGCCCUGCCACGGUCUUACACUGAUCACUUAUCACUUGUCACUGAUCAGAUAAGAGUAGCUAAGCUACCACUUAUCAUUUGUCACUUAUCACUGAUCAGAUAAGUGUAGCUGAGGCUACCACUUAUCACUUAUCACUUGUCACUGAUCAGAAGUACUCAAAUUCGACAUUCCACUCAAUUUGAUCAUUUAUUCGAUUUUCAGGUUGUUAUUUUAUUUUCUAUUCAUCAAUAAAUAUAUUUCAUCAUACAUUAGAUAAUUCAUAAAAUUAACAUAUAAUCACUACAACAAAACUGACUUUUAGCGGCGUUUUUUAGGCCUUUAGCGGCACUUUUAAGUGCCACUAAAACUAUUUGCGACGUUUCUCCAAGCACCGCUAAAAGCGCCGUUAUUUCCAGCGCCACUAAAGUUUGCGGCGUUUAUUUGAAAAAACGCCACUAAAGAUCAUGACCUUUAGCGGCGCUUUUCUCAAAAACGCCGUUAAAAAUCAUGAAAUUCAAAAAAAAUAUUAUAAAAGUCGUGAAAAAUAUAAAAAAUUUAAAAUUCAUUAUCAAAAUAUUGAAUGAUAUAAAUAUAAAAAUUUUCUAUUAAAAUUUUAACUUUAAAACUAAAUACAAAAAUUAAUGAAUUUAAAUUUAGAAUUUAAAAUAAUAAAUUAAUAACACAAUUAAAAUCUAAAAGUUAGAACUCAAGUUAUCUUAAAUAUUAAAAUAAAAAUAAAAAUUUAGAAUCAAAACUAAAAUAAAUAAUAAAAACUAGAUUAAAUAUAAAAAUAUCAAUAAAAUAAGAUAUUAUAAUGAAGUUACUUAAAUGAAAUAAGGAAAUGCAUUAGAUUUGGCGACAUUUUCUCUCCACCCUUUCUAACGAGCUCUUAUUUCCCACAUUGCUGUUAAUUUCAUUUGAGCCGAUAGUGCUUCUUCAGCUUUCUCCCUUACUUCUUCGCACGUCUCCAUACCCGAAUUGCAUUUGUCCGCUUCCUUUUGAUAUUGUGAUGCUAACUUCUUAGCCUCGAGUAAAAAAAACAUUUAUGUAAAAAAUUAUAACAAUUAAGCAUUAGUGACAUACAAUUAACGAUCAAAAUAAAAUAAAACAUAUAUGUAACAAAUAAAUUGUUGGUCAGAAAAAGUUGUAAAAAAUGAAAAAAGGCAUUUGCAAUCAAUCUUAAAAUUAGAGGUGAUCUAAAAGGCAUAGAAAAUAAAAUGUAAAAUUUCUUUGUAUUAAGUUACUUUGUCCCAUUUUCCAAUAAAUACAUCCAUCCAUGACAAAGAAACAGGAAACUGACCUGUAAAGGAAGCCUCAGUCAUGUAUUAAUUAAAGAUAGAACCAUAAAAUUAGCUUAAUUCUGCUGGGCAAAAUUGCCAAAGAUCAGAUAAUUAACAUUUCCAAAUACCCGAUUGCUAUCUUUAAUAAAAAUGGAAACUUGGAACUUUGCAGGGCAAGUAGCAUAGAGAAUGCUAAUACAAAGCAACAAACAUAAUAGAAAGAAAGGCUAACAACAGCUUGCCAUGCAUGUAAGCAUUCAUAAAACAGGCAUGAGUUUCAACUUUCAAUAAAUAGCUGCAUAACUACCAAGCAAAACCCCAUAGCCAAGGAAAUGCAUAAAAAAACAUGACACCUGAGACAAGUGGCUUUGGCAAAAAAAGAAAAUGCAAAACAAAGGAACUAAUAGCAUAACAAGGGACAAAGAAUUGAUUGACACUACUAUCAUCUAAAAAUUCAAAAUGAAAGACAUAAAUGUAGAAGUUCGACAUUAAAGGACAUAAAUGCCAAUGUUAAAGAAACUAGACCACAGGUUAAACCAGUUGGUUUGAUUGUUUCUUAUUUUAUUUUUUAGAUUUAAAUUAAAUAUUAAAUUUUCAUAAAUUAAUUGUAUCUAAUUAAAUUAGUUUGAUUCAAUAUAAAUCUCGACUUGACAACGAUUAUGACUUAUAUCUGUUUGAGAAAUUAAAAUAAAAAAAAUUGAUGAAUUAAGAAAUAAGAAAUUAUAUUAUAUAUAUUUCUAAAUCUAUAAAAUCAAUGAUAAUAAUACAAUAUAAAAAUUAUUUGCAUGCAGAAUUGCAAACGCUUCCAUUAUCCAAAACAAAUAAUCAAAUUCAGAUCAGGUAUGACUUGAGAAUAUUAAAAUUAAUACCAUUAAUCUGGUGUAAAGAAAUUAUUUUAAUAAAAUAAAGCUACUGUUAUGGCCAAUUAUUAGCUUGGUCCUGAGAUGCCCGACCCUACUCACCUAACCAACAAUAUCAGCUCUCUUGGUGUCUAUACUUUUAUGGAAUAUGAUGUUAAUAAGCAGGCCAUGCAUGAAACUCACCUUAAUGCAUUUUACUAUUUGAUUGACUUUUUAAAGUUACACUAUUGCCUCACAAAUACUUAACCAACUUAAAACUACUACUACUAAUAGAAACCCUGUAUGCACCAGAAGGGACUAAUAUUCCUAAUCACUCAAAACAUAUCUCCAAUUACCAUUAAAUAUAGAUAUAUAUCAAGCCAACCAAACAAAUCAUUUCAUUUCUCUCAUUCAAAGAUAACCUAAAGAUACUAGCACAUCAAACAUGAAAGAAAGCGAAACUGUGGAAUUUGGUUUCAAAUUUAUUAUCACAUAGGAAGGCACAUAUUGCAUCAUCCUGAUAAGAUUGGAAUGGCAGACACAAGCAAGAAAACAAGCUAAUUUUUUUAACAGUUCAGAGAUUAAAGUAGUUCAAAAUCUAUAAUGGCAAGUAAAAUGAAUUUAAGUGAACAAGUUAUUUGAUAGAGAGCUUCACUUCAUCUUUUUAAUUCCAUUUGAUGAGAGAAUUAGAAGACCUUUUCGUUGUUAGCAGCCAAAAUAAAACUUUACAUGAUCCAGUAGUGCCUUCUUCUGAGCUUUCAGAAUAUAUAAAAACAGGGUUUAUCAUAUUUCAUGAAUUAAUGUUAUCAAAUUUCAUUCCUGUGGAAACUAUGUAUAUAAAUAAAACAAAAUAAGAAUAAAUUGUAAUAGAUUAAUACAUGUGAUUAAAAGUAUUAAUUGAUUCAUUUGCUUCUAAAAAUCUUACAUUUCAUCUUAAUUCCAGAAUGCUCCUUUACUUUUUAUAUAAAAAGAAUCAUUGCAAAAAUUCCAUGAAUACACAACAUUUUUACUAAAUUAAGCAUGCAUAAAUAAAAUCAAUGCCAGAACAUAAUUAAAUCCAUGUCUUUUUUUAGCAUGCGUACAUACACAUAAGCAUAUUUGCAUAUCACAUCAUGUAAUACACAUGUCCUAAAACAUUCUCAUUCGAUCACCUAAAGUAAGUAAAUAUAGAAACCUUGUUUUCAUCACUCACUAGUAUCAAUUUGAUCUUUCUAUUUCCUAGCUUUAGCUAAUAUACCUUGGUUAACAGAAAGUAGAGUGAACUUACGUGUUAUCCGAGAAGCAACCGAUAUGAUAAGCUUCAGGGGCAUUAGAACCUUGAUCUAAUAUAAGAAAUCAUUUCAAUUAGAGACAAAGAAAUCGAUAACUUUACCAUUCACUGUCUGAGAGCAGAAAGUGUGCUGCAAAAGCAUUAGAAGCUGAAUAUAAAAUUGAAAAGAAAUUUUAAAAAAUAACACACAUUUAUUUGAGAGAUAAAACAAAUUAAAAUGAAAUUGAAGUGUCCAUAAACUUACAGCUACAUUAUUCAAAAGAGCGGCAACUUCAAGCAUGGAAGAUCCAGGCAAAUUGCUCACGAAUCUGUAGGUUAUAGUAUUUUAAUCAAUAGGAUUUGCAAUUAGAAGAUUAAAUUUAAAAAAUUGGGAAAUUUGAGAAGAAAAAAAAAAGAGAUUAACUAACUGUUCUCUGAGGUGCUUGUUGGGAUUCAAAGAUCUUGGGAAGGAAUCCAUUGACGAAGAGUUUGAAAACGCAGUUGUGAAUUUAUUACAGAAGAUCAGAGCUAAGCAAGUAAAACAGGAAAAAAAUGGAGAAACUAGAAUCAAGUUUCUAUAAUAUUAUAGAAACCAAAUACCCCAGUAAGAGAGGUGGAAGCGUGAAAGGACAGCAUUUUCUAUUAACUAAUCUUCUAUAUUCAAAGAAAACAUAAUCUGCUGAUGAAUACCUUUAAGAGGAAAAUAGUGUUCACAUCACGACUAGAAUUGUAGUCCUCUCAAGAUGGCUGCACAUUACAAGGGAAAAUUGACACAACAAUAUAAAAACAAUACAAAAAGGACAGAGCAAUUGAUGUUCACAGUAAGGUUAACUGUUGGCUACUAGUGUUAUUAAAAAAGAAAAAACAAAAUCAGCAUGACCAAAUUCCAAAUAUGUGCAGUCAAAAUUAACACCAAAACUUGUUAAGAACCAACAAAUUAAGUUGAACUCAAAGAUCAUUCUGAGCGAUAAUUAUGAAAUCUACAACAAAAAUACAUAAAACAAUAAAGGAAUAUAUAUACAUAAAGGACCAAGGAGAGCAACAAAAUCAUGCAAGAACUUCUAUCCUCUUCCAUAAUGGACAAACUUAGCAAAGUACAAGUAAAUACCUUCUUAGAAGACGAAAACAAACUGAAGCUGUGAAUAGCUUCAUUCCAAGCAUCACAUAUUGCAUUUAAAGGAUGCAGGGAUUCAGCAAUAAUGCAUUGUAGUAUCAAGCACGUCACGAGAUUGAGGUUGCCGAAUGAGUUACCAGAGCAACAGUAUUUCUAGUUGUUGGUGGCCGGUGAUUAGCUGUGUUUUCUAGCCGCUCCCAUGCUUUUUUCCGUUUCUCGGAGGAUUUGCUUAGCUCUGCUUUUUCUUCCUUUAAAUGAAUAAGGCAAGACAUGAAAAAUCCAUCAUCAAUAUCCAUGAACAUCUUCCUGACAUUAUCUAGACAUCUCAAUUGUUGUAAAACAAAGACAUGUAACUGAAAAGUUUAACAGCUACCCUCAUUUUAAGACAUCAGUAAGUCCCCACAAAACUAUCGCUGGGCACGGAGUUGACCGACGUAUGUUACAUUCAGGUCAAACAUAUGUAACUAAGCUCGGUCUUAUUUAAGCCAACCAUAAAGCUGCAAACCCUUAGUUUAGACGUUAUGUAACUCGUUAAAUUGGGGCCUACCCCUAAGUUUUCUCGAGUUAUGCUCACUUCUGGUCAAAACUCAAACAUGGCGGUGGUAUGGUAGAUCAGUGUCAAAUCAUAAAACAUAUCAUCAGACUAGAAGAUACAUCUAGUCAUUACAGGUCAAACAUAGAGAUAUAACUAAGCUCAGUCUUAUUUAAGCCAACCAUAAAGGUACGAACCCUUAGUUUAGACAUUAUGUAACUCAUUAAAUCAAGGCCUCACCCGCCCUCCUGAGUUUUCUCGAGUUAUGCUCACUUCUGGUCAAAACUCAAACAUGAUGGUGUAUGGUAGAUUAGUGUCACAAACAUAUCAUUCGAUUCAAAGAUAACAUCUAGUCAUUACAUUUCUUAACAAGUUAAUAGAUGCGUGUUUUAAGGCAGUAUCGUAAAAGGAUCAAGAUGAGAACAUACUAGGCACAAGAUGUAUAAUCAAGGCAAUAAUGAGAUGCAAAGUGAGCAUAUUAAGGUAUAGAGAAAUUUACCUGGAAGUGGAAACUGUUAAUGCAACGACCAAUCUGCCAAGACAAUGGGACCAUAACUUUUUGGAAUUCCACCAUGUCGAUUUCUUCCAAAAUAUCCUUCAACUCGUCGAGAAACAUCACCUCCUUCUGGCUGUUUGUUAUUGGCCAGUACUUCAAUAGCCCCUUUAUCACUAUACUAGAUAGCUUCGGGUCCUUAUCGAUGAACUGAGUGACACAAUAAGACAAUUGUUGAAAGUAAACUCCCAAAGUUUUUGGCUUGUGCAGCGGAAUCAAAACCCUCUGCAAGAAGAUCUUAUGCUCCUCCUUUAAAGGCAGAGCGAAUCCGCUGAUUAUACUCCCAAAAUGAAACCCUAACAGAUCGAGAGAAAAGGAGUAGCUAUGGUGUAUUGACUUGGUGUUGCUAGAAAUGGGAAAUUUGGGGGCAAAUUUUGAGAGUUAUUUGGGGGAUUUUGGGACAAACGAGCGGCUAAUCAAAAAUUGGGGAUUUUGAUUUUUUUUUACGGCGUUUUCAUUAAAAACGCCAUUAUAGCUUAAUUUUUUGUGGCGUUUUACUUAAAAACGCUACUAUUGAUUAAUUUUAAUUUUUUUUCAUUUUUAACAUAUUUUUUUAUUUCUCUUUCAAAAUUUUUGUGCUGAGAUUAUUAUCUUUUUGAAUUUUUUUAAAAUUUUAAAUAUUGAAAUUUUUAAUUAAAAUAUUGAUUACAAUAUUAAUUUUUUUAUUUUUUUAUUUUUUUAUUUUUUAAUUUUAAUUUUUUAUUUUUUAUUUUUAAAUUUUUAAAUUUUUAUUUUUUAUUUUUUUAUUUUUUGAGUUUAUUUUUUAUUUCGGUUUAAUGUGUAAUUGUAGACGUGAAAUUAUAAUUGUGGUUUAAAUGUAUAGUUGAAACUUUAAUUUUAAUUUAAUCAUACACAUUUAAAAAAUAAAUACAUCAAUAUAUUUUUAUAUUGAAUAAAUAUAAAUAUUUAUGUAUCCAUGCAAUAUAUAAAUAUAAAAUGAUGUUAUAUCAAUAAUUGUGUAAAAGAAAAUGAAAAAACGUGGAGACACAAAUAUAUAUUUUAAAAAGAAAAUGAGUUACAAUUAAAAAACGUGGAGACACAAAUGAGUGCAGAGAAUUUUUGUUCGUAUAAAUAAAUAAAUAUUUUAAUUAAUCAGUUUAGAUAAAUAUUAAAAUAGUAUAAACAAAAAACUAUUAAUAAAAUUUAAAAGGUAAACUUAUCAUUUAAAACGUUUUCCACAAAAUAUCCCUUCAAUCCAUUAAAUUAAUUAUAGGGUUUAGGAUUUAAUUAUUGAAUAUGAUUCACUUGAGAUUAAUAUACUAUAUACCCAUGGCCAUUAAACCUUAAACCAUAAAACCGUAAACUAUAGACCUUAAACCUUAAAUAUUAAACCGUAAACCAAAAAAUAAAUUUACUCAAUAUUAACUAUUGCUUCCAUAAUUUAUUAUGAACAUAAGCUUUUACAUUAAUAUAUAUGUAUAUACACAUCAACAUCCAUGUGAUGUUUUUUGGGGUUUAGGGUUUUAAAAGUUAUAGUUUAGUAUUUUGGGGUUUAGAUUUUUAGAGGUUAUAGUUUAGUGUUCAUGAUUUUUUUGGGGGUUUAGGGUUUUAGGAGUAAUAUGACUUUUAGCGGCGUUUUAGCGAAAGCGCCGCUAAUGCUCCGACUUUUAGCGGCGUUUUACCGAAAGCGCCGCUAAUGCUCUGACUUUUAGCGGCGUUUUACAGAAAGCGCCGCUAAUGUUACGACUUUUAGCGGCGUUUUACCGAAAGCGCCACUAAUGCUCUGACUUUUAGCGGCGUUUUACCAAAAGCGCCGCUAUUGCUCUGUUUUUAGCGGCGUUUUUGAUGAAACGCCGCUAUUGCUCUAUGUUUUACAAUUUUUGCAGCGUUUUUUGAUAAAACGCCGCUAAAACCCUAUUUUCCUGUAGUGAAUCAUUAAACUUCAACCAUAUGAACUUACCUGGGUCGAUUUGUAAAAUUUGUGAAAAUUCAGGGACUAAUCAGCUACUUUUUCUUUUCCUCGACUUGCUUCGGGUUCUCGAUCUAUCAUUGUAAAAUCAUUCAUUUAUCAGUAUUGACUUCAUCUUCAACCCACUUAUAAGUAAUAUUAUCUAUAAUUUAAUUGUUUACUUAUGUAUAUUCCAAUGUUGUCCAUCAGUGUCAUAGUCACUAAAUUAUUUUUAUCUUUAGCUACAGAACUCAAAAUUAGGAUCCGCUAAUUUUAUCUCAAACUAGACUCAUAUAUCUUCUUAUCAUAAAAUUUUUAGAAUUUUUGGUUUAGCCAAUAAGUACAGUUUAUUCUUUAAAGUCACCCCUGUUCUGCUGUCUUACAAUUCCGACCCUUCUUCACUAAAAAUUAAUUAUCUCUUCGUACAGAAUUCGGAUGAUGUCCAUGUUUGUUUCUAUUGAAAAUAGACUCAUUAAGGAUUUUAAAAAUAUAAAUUUAAGCCCCUAAUUAUUUUUAUCCAAUUUUUUAUGAUUUUUCAAAGUCAGAACAGGGGAUCCCGAAAUCAUUCUGACAUUGUCUCACAAAAUCUAUUAUAUCUCAUGAUCUACAAUUCCGUUGCUUACACCGUUUCUUCUAUGAGAAACUAGACUCAAUAAGCUUUAAUUUUAUAUUUUUUUCAUCUAAUAAUUCGAUUUCUACAAUUUAUGGUGAUUUUUCAAAAUUAGACUACUGCUACUGUCCAAAACUGUUUUAGUGCAAAUGUUGAUUUCGAUUUUUGCCCCAAAUUUCACAGUUCAUACAAUUCAGUCCUUGCUCAAUUAAUCCCUCAAUGAAGCUAAUUAUUCCCAAUUAAUGCUUUACCUUAACAUUAUAAGUUAUUUCACAAUUAUUUAAAUUCAGAAUUUCCACAUAAAACUCUAACUUCAAACUUUUUCACCUUUAGAUCCCAAACAUUCACUUUCUAUUCAAUUCUUUCAAUAAAAUCAGCAUAUAAACAAUUUAAAACUCUAAUUCCAUGCUAAAUCAUCAUAUAAUUCCAGCACAUAUUCAUAUCAACUUUCAAUUUCUUUCAUAGAAUCAAAAACUAAUGAAUUCAACAAGUGGACCUAGUUGUAAAAGUCAUAAAAACACAAAAAUUUCAAGAAAUAAUCAAGAAUUGAACUUACUUGCAGUAAAAAUAUGAAAAACAGCUUAAGAAAACCCUUCUAUGGUGUUUUUUCUGAUGAGAAUGCAGAAAAAUAAUGAGAAUUCUAGAUAAUUCCACUUUAGUCCUAGUUUAUUAAGUAAAUUUUUGCAAUAUUCUAAUUUUUCCCUUAAUUCAUCAAUUUUCCUGCUGAUUUCAUGCACCUUGCCGUCCAGCCCAAAUAGGCCUGGGGUCUAUUUGCCUUUUAAACCCUCUUUCUUUUAUCAUUUAAGUUAUUUCAUCAUUUCCCAUAAUUUUACAUUUGUUACAAUUUAAUCCUUUUUAUUCAAUUAACUAUCAAAACUUUAAAAUUUCUUGACGAAACUUUAAUACUAACUUAUUAACACUCCAUAAAUAUUUAUAAAAAUAUUUAUGGCUCGUUUUAAAAAUUUUCAAAUUCUCGAUAUCUCGUUUCCGAUUCUAAUUUAAUUUUUUUUUCAAGUACACUAUUCGCUAUUUCAAAAAUUUUCCUAACUUCACACUUAACUUAUAUUCACUAAAUUAUUAAUAUUUUCUACUCAUUUUUCGGAUUUAGUGAUCUCGAAUCACUAUUCUGACACCACUGAAAAUUCAGGCUAUUACAAUUCUCCCCCUCUUAAGAAAUUUCGUCCUCGAAAUUUGUUACCUGAAAAUAGGUUCGGAUAUUGUGAUCUCAUUGAUUCCUCUGUUUCCCAGGUUGCCUCCUCCACACCAUGUCGAUGCCACAACACUUUUACUAACGGUACCCGUUUGUUCCUUAACUCUUUAAUUUCCCAAGCUAGAAUUUUCACCGAUUCCUCUGAAUAAGUCAUGUUGGGUUGGACCUCUAUUUCCGUAUGAGGAAUUACAUGUGAUGUAUCUGAUCUGUACCGUCUCAACAUAGACACAUGAAACACGUUAUGAAUCUUUUCAAGUUCCGGGGGCAAAGCCAAUCUAUAAGCUACCGGACCGAUUCUUUCAAUGAUUUCAUACGGCCCAAUAAAUCGUGGACUGAGUUUUCCCUUUCUACUGAACCGCAAAACUUUCUUCCACGGUGACACUUUCAAGAAUACACGAUCACCCACAUUAAAAUCUAUAUCUCUUCUCUUUAAAUCUGCAUAUGAUUUUUGUCGAUCGGAGGCAGCUUUUAAACAAUCUCGAAUAAUACGAACUUUUUCUUCUGUUUCCCGAAUCAAGUCCACUCCCAUUAGUUUCCGUUCACUUAAUUCAGACCAAUAUAAUGGAGUUCUACACUUUCUUCCAUACAGAGCUUCAAAUGGUGCCAUUGUAAUACUAGUUUGAUAACUAUUAUUAUAAGCAAAUUCGACUAAAGGUAAAUACCUUUCCCAGCUGCCGCCAAACUCAAGUACACAACACCUUAACAUAUCUUCUAAAAUCUGAAUCACUCACUCUGACUGCCCGUCUGUCUGAGGAUGAAAAGCUGUGCUGAAAUUUAAUUUAGUGCCCAAAGCCUCCUGUAAUUUAUUCCAAAAUCUCGAAGUAAAUCUCGGAUCCCUAUUUGAAAUAAUAGAUACUGGAACUCCAUGUAAUCUCACAAUCUCAGAAAUAUACAAUUCCACUAACUUCUCCAAUGAAAAAUUUGAUCUGACUGGAAUAAAAUGUGCCGACUUUGUCAAUCUAUCAACGAUAACCCAGAUUGAAUCUUUCUUUUUCGGAGUCACAGGCAAUCCUGAUACACAAUCCAUCGUAAUGUGUUCCCACUUCCAUUCAGGAAUCAUAAUAGGUUGUAAUAAACCCGUUGGUACUUGAUGCUCUGCUUUCACUUGCUGACAGAUUAGACAUUUUGCAACAAAUUCACAAAUCUCUUGUUUCAUACCAGGCCACCAGUACAUUCUUUUUGAAUCGCAAUACAUUUUUGUACUACCCGGAUGAAUAGAAUACUUACUAUUAUGAGCUUCAGCAAGAAUAUCAUUUUUCAAUUCUGAAUUAUUCGGAACACAAAUUCUAUUACGAUAACGCAACAUACCACCAUCAUCAACGCUAUAUUCUGAACUCAAAUUAUCCUGAACCGUUUGUCGUUUCAGCACUAGUUUCGAAUCAUCACUCUGUAAUUCACGGAUCCGUUGAACCAUCUUCAUUAAUAGACAAAUGAACAUUCAUUGCUCGAAGUGCAAACAAUGAUGAUUUUCGGCUAAAUGCAUCAGCGACCACAUUAGCUUUCACUGGGUGAUAAUCAAUAACAAGAUCAUAAUCUUUCAAUAGUUCGAGCCAUCGUCUCUGUCUCAAGUUUAGCUCUUUCUGUGACAUCAAAUAUUUUAGACUUUUAUAAUCGGUAUACACAUAACAUUUUUCCCCAUAUAAAUAAUGUCUCCAGAUUUUUAAAGCAAACACAAUCGCGGCCAACUCCAAAUCAUGGGUAGGGUAAUUUUUCUCGUGUGGUUUUAAUUGCCGAGAAGCAUAUGCCACUACUUUCCCUGACUGCAUUAAAACACAACCCAAACCAUUUAAAGAUGCAUCACUAUACACAACAUAUGGUAUACUUGAUUCUGGUUGAGUUAACACGGGAGCUUCUGUCAACAUUUUCUUCAACUGGUCAAAACUUUGUUGGCACUUUUCAGACCAUACAAAUUCAACAUUCUUCUGAAGUAGUCGAGUCAUCGGCAAGGCAAUCAUUGAAAAUUUUUUAACAAAUCGGCGGUAGUAUCCCGCUAAUCCCAAGAAACUCCGCACUUCUGUUACGUUCUUUGGUGUUUUCCAAUUCACCACUAAUGACACUUUACUUGGAUCUACUCGAAUUCCUUCAGCUGAAACAAUAUGACCCAGAAAUCCAACCUCCUGUAGCCAAAAUUCACACUUGCUGAACUUUGCAUGCAACUGCUUCUCUCUCAAGGUCUGCAACACACUUCUCAAGUGUUGUGCAUGAUCAGGCUCGGUCUUCGAAUAGAUCAGUAUAUCAUCAAUAAAUACAACCACGAAUCUAUCCAAAUAAGGUUGAAAAAUUCGAUUCAUCAAGUUCAUAAAUGCAGCAGGAGCAUUAGUUAAACCAAAUGGCAUUACCAGAAACUCGUAAUGACCAUACCGAGUUCUGAAGGCAGUUUUUGGCACGUCACAUUCUUUAACUUUCAGCUGAUAAUACCCAGAUCGAAGAUCUAUUUUUGAAAACACAGCAGCACCUUUCAACUGAUCGAACAAAUAAUCAAUGCGGGGCAAAGGAUAUUUGUUCUUGAUUGUAACCUUAUUUAACUGUCUGUAAUCUAUACACAAUCUCAACGAGCCAUCUUUCUUUUUCACAAACAAAACAGGUGCACCCCAAGGAGAUGUACUCGGUCUAAUAAACCCUUUAUCUAACAAUUCUUGUAACUGAGUCUUCAACUCUUUUAAUUCUGUCGGUGCCAUUCUGUAUGGUGUUACUAAUAUUGGAGCUGUUCCCGGGAUCACAUCAAUCACAAACUCAACUUCACGAUCUGGUGGUAAACCCGUCAAUUCCUCAGGAAACACAUCAGUAAAUUCAUUAACAACUGGCAACUGUUUCAACUUUGAUUCAAAAUCCCGAAUAUCAAGAAUGUAAGCUAAAUAUGCUUCAUUACCCUUCCGUAUUAGCUUCUGAGCUGAAAAGGCUGAAAUAAUUCGGACAUUAUCUUUCAUAUUUCCAAACUCAGCCAAAAUCAUUUCUCCUGUCUGAUUUUUCAAAUCAAUCUGUUUCUCUCGACAGUUCACUACAGCGUCAUGUUUUGUUAACCAAUCCAUUCCCAGAAUAAUAUCAAAUUCCCGAAAGGGUAAUAACAUCAAAUCAGCAGGGAAUUCACAGUCUUUCACUUUCAGUGGACAAUUACGACAUAUUAAAUUAACCAUCACACUUUGACCUAAUGGAUUAGUAACUUGUAUAUCAUAAUUAGUGGACUCAACAGAUAAUUUCUUUUCAGAUGCUAGCAUAGUGCAAAUAUAUGAAUGAGUAGACCCAGGGUCUACUAAUGCAUAAACAGUAACAUCAUAAAGAUAGAAAAUACCAGCAAUUACAUCAGGAGCCGUAGCCUCUUCCCUUGCUUGAAUGGCAUAGGUACGUGCUGGUGCUCUAUUCUCUGAUUGACUAACUGGUUCUCUUAUACUCGAACGGGUAGCCCCUGUAGCACUGCUCUGGCCCGAACGUCUACUUCUUUGGGGAGUGGUUCUCUGUAUCUCUUUUUGAUCCACUUCAUCUUUUUACAGCUGGGGGCAAUCUCGAAUAAGAUGAUUAGUAGCCCCACAUUUAUAACAAGCCCCCAUCUUAAUCCUGUAUUCACCGAAAUGAUGUCUUUCACAAUAUUGACACUUAGGCCGGGGAGUAUUCUGAACACUGCUCACACUUGCUGCAGGUCUAUCAAAUACCUUGAAAUCAGAUUGUCUUGAUCUACCUCUACCCAAUCUUCCCGGCACGGAUGUAGUUCGACUAAUUUCUUCUCUAGAUUCUUCACCGGCAAAUCUGAAAAUGACUUAGAAGCACCUCUUUUAAAUGACUCUUUAUUUUUCCGAUCUCUUUGCAUUUUUCUGUUAUAUACUUCUUCAAGCUUUUGAGCACGGCCUGACAGAACAACGAACUCUCGUAUUUCAUUAGCCCCAAUCAUCAUUCUAAUCUCAUCAUUUAACCCUUCUUCAAAUCUGAUACACAUUUCUUCUUCGGUAGGUACAAUGUCUCGAGCAUAUUUGCUGAGGUAGACAAAUUCUCUUUCGUAUGCGGCCACUGACUUAUUUUCCUGCCGUAGAUCAAGAAAUUCUCUCUUUUUCUUAUCUAGAUAUCUUUUCCCCACAUAUUUCUUUUUAAACUCGUUCUGGAAAAAUUCCCAAGUAAGCUUUUCUACAGGUACUACAGCUUCCACAGUUUCCCACCAAUUAUAUGCUUAUUCUUUUAACAAUGAAACGGCACAUCGUAGAUAAUCUUCCGGAGAACAAGUCAUCUGUUUAAAAAUUCUUACCAAACUUUGUAGCCAAUACUCAGCUUUUACAGGGUCAUCAUCUGAUCUCCCUCGAAAUUCCUCAGCUCCAAACUUCCUAAGCUUUUCGAUCGGAGAACAUUUACUAGUUUCAAUUAUUGAAGGAGGUAGAGGAGCAACCGGAGGUACCAUAGGUGGCGCAGUAGGGGGAGGAGGUGGUUGAGACUGACUUCUUUCUUGUAUCAUCUCCUUAUACCACUGAUUCAUAACUCCAUAAAUCAUAUUUUUAAGUUCUCACUCUCGCAUCAUAGAAAUUGGAAUAUCACUACUUGUUCCUUGUUCUGGAGUCUGCACCCUACUGUUAGCUUCCUCCUGUUCAGUACGUUCAGGUCUAUCUGACAUCUUUAUAAUCGGAGAGUAUCUAUAAAAAUGACAAAUAUUAGAUCGGAUCAUACUCAUCACACUAUCACAGAUUUAUAUGGCAUGUAUUUCUAAACACUUUACAUAUAACACAUGUUCCGAGAACCGGCUAAACCGGGCUCUGAUACCACUAAAUGUAACACCCCUUACCCGUAUUCAUCGCCAGAAUAGGGUAGGAGGCAUUACCGAAGUUUACCGAAUUAAUUUUCCAUUAAUACGUGUUAAAUACUAUUUAUUUACUAAAACAUGUCAUGGUGUCCUUUAGAUGGGCCUCCAAAGCCCAAAACAUACUUCGAGACCAAACUAGAAUUAAAUCGAAACCAUAGGGAAUUUUUCGCAAAAUCCCAAAGUGUUUUUUUUGUUUGCUCAAUAUAACCCUUUUAUAAAUAUCUAACAUUCCCUGCAAUUUUUAAAACCGAGACCAAUCCAACCAACCAAUUCAUUUCAAUCAAUUUAAUACAAAAUUAUACUUCUAUUAUAAUUAUACUAUUUAACAUACUCAUCAUUCUUUACUUUAAUGUAUAUUCAUUAAACAAGUCUCAAUAUUUAUAUAAUCACCAAGCCUUAUACAUGCCAUAUAAAUCAAAAAGGAAAUUUACAAAAGCUACCGGAGAUAAUCUGGAUAGUGUGAUCCUCUGUGUUGAUCCGAUCCUCCGUAUACUUCCACGUCAAUCUACAAGAGACAUUGAAUACACUCAAAUAAGCUUAUAAAAGCUUAGUAAGUUCAUAGGCAUAAAACAUAAAUCUUACCAAAUAUUUAUACACUUAUACUAUAUACACAAUUAUUAAGUUCACUUGUCAAUCACAGUCAUUGGUGAGUUCCCUAUAUAAACUCACUACCACUUAUCCAUUUCCAUUAAUUCUUUUGGGCCCAUUUGUCAUAUAUCAUUCUUUAACCAAAUUAGGGAAUGGUAAAGGAAAAUUGAGUACUUCACUUUCACUUUGCCAUAGUAUAACUAUGGUCUUGCAUAUGAUCACUUAUCACUUUUUAAAAUCAUAGCCCUGCCACGGUCAUACACUGAUCACAUUUAUCACUUGUCACUGAUCAGAUAAGUGUAGCUAAAGCUACCACUUAUCACUUGUCACUGAUCAGAUAAGAGUAGCUAAGCUACCACUUAUCAUUUGUCACUUAUCACUGAUCAGAUAAGUGUAGCUGAGGCUACCACUUAUCACUUAUCACUUGUCACUGAUCAGAAGUACUCAAAUUCGACAUUCCACUCAAUUUGAUCAUUUAUGCGAUUUUCAGGUUGUUAUUUUAUUUUCUAUUCAUCAAUAAAUAUAUUUCAUCAUACAUUAUAUAAUUCAUAAAAUUAACAUAUAAUCAUUAAACUUCAACCAUAUGAACUUACCUGGGUCGAUUUGUAAAAUUUGUGAAAAUUCAGGGACUAAUCAGCUACUUUUUCUUUUCCUCGACUUGCUUUGGGUUCUCGAUCUAUCAUUUUAAAAUCAUUCAUUUAUCAGUAUUGACUUCAUCUUCAACCCGCUUAUAAGUAAUAUUAUCUAUAAUUUAAUUGUUUACUUAUGUAUAUUCCAAUGUUGUCCAUCGGUGUCAUAGUCACUAAAUUAUUUUUAUCUUUAGCUACAGAACUCCAAAUUAGGAUCUGCUAAUUUUAUCUGAAACUAGACUCAUAUAUCUUCUUAUAAUAAAAUUUUUAGAAUUUUUGGUUUAGCCAAUAAGUACAGUUUAUUCUUUAAAGUCACCCCUAUUCUGCUGUCUGACAAUUCCGACCCUUCUUCACUAAAAAUUAAUUAUCUCUUCGUACAGAAUUCGGAUGAUGUCCAUGUUUGUUUCUAUUGAAAAUAGACUCAUUAAGGAUUUUAAAAAUAUAAAUUUAAGCCCCUAAUUAUUUUUCUCCAAUUUUUUAUGAUUUUUUAAAGUCAGAACAGGGGAUCCCGAAAUCAUUCUGACAUUGUCUCACAAAAUCUAUUAUAUCUCAUGAUCUACAAUUCCGUUGCUUACACCGUUUCUUCUAUGAGAAACUAGACUCAAUAAGCUUUAAUUUCAUAUUUUUUCAUCUUCUAAUUCGAUUUCUAAAAUUUAUGGUGAUUUUUCAAAGUUAGACUACUGCUACUGCCCAAAACCGUUUUAGUGCAAAUGUUGAUUUCGAUUUUUACCCCAAAUUUCACAGUUCAUACAAUUCAGUCCUUGCUAAAUUAAUCCCUCAAUGAAGCUAAUUAUUCCCAAUUAAUGCUUUACCUUAACAUUAUAAGUUAUUUCACAAUUAUUUAAAUUCAGAAUUUCCACAUAAAACUCUAACUUCAAACUUUUUCACCUUUAGAUCCCAAACAUUCACUUUCUAUUCAAUUCUUUCAAUAAAAUCAGCAUAUAAACAAUUUAAAACUCUAAUUCCAUGCUAAAUCAUCAUAUAAUUCCAGCACAUAUUCAUAUCAACUUUCAAUUUCUUUCAUAGAAUCAAAAACUAAUGAAUUCAACAAGUGGACCUAGUUGUAAAAGUCAUAAAAACACAAAAAUUUCAAGAAAUAAUCAAGAAUUGAACUUACUUGCAGUAAAAAUAUGAAAAAACAGCUUAAGAAAACCCUUCUAUGGUGUUUUUUCUGAUGAGAAUGCAGAAAAAUAAUGAGAAUUCUAGAUAAUUCCACUUUAGUCCUAGUUUAUUAAGUAAAUUUUUGCAAUAUUCCAAUUUUGCCCUUAAUUCAUCAAUUUUCCUGCUGAUUUCAUGCACCUUGCCGUCCAGCCCAAAUAGGCCUGGGGUCUAUUUGCCUUUUAAACCCUCUUUCUUUUAUCAUUUAAGCUAUUUCAUCAUUUUCCAUAAUUUUACAUUUGUUACAAUUUAAUCCUUUUUAUUCAAUUAACUAUCAAAACUUUAAAAUUUCUUGACGAAACUUUAAUACUAACUUAUUAACACUUCAUAAAUAUUUAUAAAAAUAUUUAUGGCUCGUUUUAAAAAUUUUCAAAUUCUCGAUAUCUCGUUUACGAUUCUAAUUUAAUUUUUUUUCAAGUACACUAUUCGUAUUUCAAAAAUUUUCCUAACUUCACACUUAACUUAUAUUCACUAAAUUAUUAAUAUUUUCUACUCAUUUGUCGGAUUUAGUGAUCUCGAAUCACUAUUCCGACACCACUGAAAAUUCAGGCUAUUACAAGGGAGCUGCCUCAGGUAUUACUCGAACAAUCAUUGUAUCUCAAAUUUAAACUCUUCUUGUACCCCUUCUCGAAGCUCAUUGUGUAAUGGCCUAAAUUCAAGGUUAUCGGAACAAUGGUUUCGUAACCAUAGAUCCGAUUUAAAGAGAAAUUUAUUUCAAUAUUUUUGCUUGAAAAUUGAUAUGAUAGGAAAAUCGUAUGAAAAUAUUGAUAGGAACAUUUUAUCGAUUUAGUGAUUAGUUAGAAAAAGAAAUUAUUGAAGAAAUUGGAUAAAAUAAGGUAUCGGGACCUCUAUCUCGUAAAACCGAGUCUAAAAUAAUUUUAUAAAUAUUUAUAAAAUGUUAUUAAUGUGGUAUUAAAAUAUCGUUAGGAAUUUUUAAUGUUUGGGUAGUCAAUUAAAUGAAAAUGACUAAAUUGUAAUAGGUGUAAAAGUUGCUAGAGUGAUUAAAUAGCUUAAGAGUCUAAUGAGAAAGGAUUUAAAAGGCAAUUAGGCGCAAAAGUUAUUUGGGCUGGAUGGCAAGGGUAUGAAAUCAGCAGAAAAAUUGAUAAAUUAAGGGUAAAAUUGGAAUAUUACAAAAUUAACUAAAUAAAGCUAGGACUAAAUAGGAAAUAUCUAGAUUUCUCUUCAUUUUUCUUCAAUUCCAGCAGCUAAAAUUGCCAUAGGAGGGUUCUCUAAGCUGGUAUUUCAUAAUUUUUGCACCAAGUGAGUUAAUCCUUGCCUUUUUCUUGUAAUUUUUGUGUUUCUAAGACUUUUACAACUAGGUCCUACUAUUAAAUUCAUUAGUUUUUGAUUUCAUGGAUGAAAUUGAAAGUCACCAUGGUUGAGUGUUGUAAGUUUAUGAUGAAAUAAAAUGAAAUUAAAGCUUUAAUUUGUUUAUUAGAUGAUUUUAUUAGGCAAUUUCAAUGGAAUUUGAUUUUAGGACCUAAUUGUGAAAAUGUUUGGAAUUAAAGUCUAUUGCUGAAAUUCUGAUUCCUAAAGGUUGUAAACUAGUUUAAGGUGAUAGAAUAAAAUGUUAAUUGAGAAAAAUCAGCUCAAUUGAGAGGCUAAUUGAGUAGGGACGAAAUUAUCAUUUAUUAAAAGCUUAGGGGAAAAAUGGUAAUAAACAGCUUGCACUAAAACAGUUUGGACAGCAGCAGUAGACUAACUUUGAAAAAUCACAAAAAAAUUGUGAGAAUCGAAUUAGAAGAUGAACAAAAUAUGGAAUUAAAGCUUAUUGAGUCUAGUUUCUCAUAGAAGAAAUAUUGUAAGCAAUGGAUUUGUAAAUUUUGAGAUAUAAUAGAUUUUGUGAGACAAGGUCAGAAUGAAUUUGGGUUCCCCUGUUCUGACUUUGAAAAAUUAUAAAAAAAAUUGAAUAAAAAUAAUUAGGGACUUAAAUUUAUAUGUAUAGAAUUCUGAAUGAGUCUAUUUUUAAUAGAAACAAACGAGAACAUCAUUUGAAUUCUGUAUAAAGAGAUAAUUUAUUUUUAGUGAAGAAUGUCAGAACUGUUAGAUAACAGAACAGGGGUGACUUUGAAGAAUAAACUGUACUGAUUGGCUAAACUAAAAAUUCUGAAAAUUUUAUGGUAAAAAUAUAUAUGAGUCUAGUUUCAGGGAAAAUUAACGGAUCUUAAUUUGGAGUUCCGUAGCUCAAGUUAUAAAUAAUUUAGUGACUAUGACUCAAGUAGACAGCUUUGAAUGAACUAUAAAUAAUAAUUGAAUUAUAGAGAAUGUUGCAUAUGAACAUGAAAUGUAUUAAAUUGAUAAUUAAAUUUAUUUAUUUAGAUCUAUAAGAUUCAAAUACGAAGCUAGAUCGAGGAAAGGAAAAAGUUCGGGAUUAGUAGAUUUUUACUGUUUACAAACAAGUAUCAAGGUAAGUUCGUGUAACUUGAAUUAUAUUCUUAAAUGCUUGAAAUGCAUGUUUUUGAUAUGAAUAUGAUUUGAAUGUUCAUUAUAUGGAAAUUUAUGAAACAUUGAUAUAUUUGAUAAAAUGGGAAGAAAUCCCGUUUGAAUGAAAGGAAAAUUCGAUGGAUCUCUGAAAAGGAAUUGACGGUAAAAAGGAUCUAGCCCGGACGGGUGAUCCUAUCCUGAUAUAGCCCUCUCGAAGAAUAUGUGUAAAAUGGAUUUAGCCCGGACGAGUAAUCCGAAUUAGGGUCUGAAUUUAGCCUGGACUGGUAAUUCAGAUCCAAGCUUAUUAGAGUAAUUGUCGUUGCAGGGGAUUUAGCCUGGACUGGUAAUCCCGACAAUACUCUAUGAGUUUAUAUUGCAGGGGAUUUAGCCUGGACUGGUAAUCCCGUUGUAAGGUUGAGGUUCGCGGGAGUGUGCUCUCUAAAAUGGAUAUGUGCGCACAUGAAUAUGAAUUGACAGAUCCGGAAUUGUACACUAAAAGUGUACCUCUGAAAAUCCAUCGAAAAUUUCGAUAAAUUCAACGGGAUAAGUAUAAAAAAAAUAACAAGGAAAUGGAAAUUAUGAUAUUGAUGAGCUCAUCAAUCAUGGUAUAUAUUAUUGGUACAUGGAAAUUAUUGUACUAACUUGAAUGUUGAGUUUGUGCAUAUUAGGGUAAUAAUGCAUUGAAUGGAUAUAUGGAUGUUUAUUGUAUUGUAUUGAAAAUAUUAGGUAAGUAUAAUUCUUGUUACAUGAGCUUACUAAGCACAAAGUGCUUACCCCGUUUCCUUUUUCCCUGUUUUGUAGUGUUAAGAGCUCGGAGGUCGGAUUUGGUCGGAGACACAUCACACUGUCAACCUCAGGAUUUCGGUAUAUAAAGAAACUUUAUUUUGGAAAUCAAUGGCAUGUAUAAGCUAACAAAGUAAAUGUUAACGUGAAAUGAAUGUAAAGUUAGCCAUUAGUAUGGUUAACAAACCUGGUUAUAGAUAUGUGAUGACGUUAUCUUAUAUAAAUGCAUGAAUCUAUCAUGAAAAUAUGUUGAAUUGAUUUGGUUGAUGUGGAUUGGUCUCGAUUUAAUAUUACAGGGAAGGUUAGAUAUUUAUAAAAGGGCUAUAUUGAAUAUAAAAAAAAUUUAAUUCGUAAACUCCGGUAAUACCUCGUACCCUAUUCCGGCAAUGAAUACGGGUAGGGGUAUUACAUUUAUUGGUAUCAGAGCUACGAUUUAGCCGGUUCUAGGACCGAUGUAGCAACUACGGUAUUAGCUAUACAUGCCAUUUAAAUUAUUAUUGAUAGUGUGAUAUCUCCUGACCAUUUAAAAUGUGUUUUUAUUAUAGUAAUGUCAUCCGACUGAGCUCAAUCUGAGGAAGCUGGGAGUCAUGCUCCGGCUUCAGUACAAAGAGAAGAACUAGCAGUAGAAGGCCCGAGACAGAGGGUCGAGGGGAGGAGGCAAAAACAGCCUUCUUUCAAAUGAUGAAUGAAUGGUUUAAUCAAUACUUAAGAACUAACCCUGUAGUGCAACAAGUUCAAGCUCCUCCUUCUGCUCCUCUACCGGUUCCCGAGAUCCCACAAGGUACAGGUAUUGAAUCUGUCAGAAAAGGGAAAGCUCCAGUAGAUAAAAUUCGAAAAUAUGGGGCCGAAGAAUUUCGAGCAGCAGUUGAUGAUGAUUCCGAACGGGCUGAAUUCUGGUUAGAAAAUACUACUCGGGUUCUGGAAGAAUUAUCUUGUACACCAGAAGAAUGUCUAUAAUGUGCCGUUUCACUGCUAAAAGAUACAACUUACCAUUGGUGGAAUACUAAAGCUUCAGUUGUUCCGAAAGAAGAAAUUACAUAGGAAUUCUUUCAGACCGAGUUAAGAAAAAAAUAUAUCAGCCAGAGGUUCCUUGACCAGAAAAGAAAAGAAUUUCUUGAGCUGAAACAGGGCAAUAGAUCAGUAUCUGAAUAUGAAAGAGAAUUUGUUCGAUUGAGUAAAUAUGCUCGAGAAUGGGUACAGUCAGAAGCUGAAAUGUGCAAACGAUUUGAAGAAGGGUUGAAUGAAGACAUUAAGUUAGUGAUUGGAAUUCUUAAAAUUCGAGAGUUUGCGACAUUGGCAGAGAGCUUAUAAAGCAGAAGAAUUGAGCAAAGAAAAGAAACAGGCUGAGAGGGAAGCUCGAAUUUUUAGUAAAAGACCGAUGGGAAAAUCCCAGUUUUCUGUUUCAAAGAAAUUGAAGAAAUAUCAAGAUCGUUCUACUUCAGCCAUUGGGUAUUCGGGCAAAGAGCGAGGUUCUCAACGCACUAAUCCAAUGCCUUUUACUCCAUUAGUGACCAGUGUUGGCAGUGUUGGCACUCCUAAACCGAGAUGCCAGUACUGUAAUAAAGCUCAUUUUGGUGAAUGUCGAUUUAAGAGUGGGGCUUGUUACCGAUGUGGUUCUUUUGACCAUUUCCUCAGAGAUUGUCCAAAAAGGGUUGAAAAAGAAGUUGAACAUAUAUCGAAGCCGAGUAAUCUAGUUUUGAGGGGCAGACCACCUCGACCAUCCGGUAAUGUCAGUGGUAGUCGAGGAGCUACAAAAGAUACUAUAGGUAAGCCUGAGGUACGAGCACCUGCUAGGACAUAUGCCAUUCGUGCCAGAGAAGAUGCUUCAACACCCGAUGUUAUUACUGGUACAUUUUCUUUACUUGAUACUGAUAUUUCUGCAUUGAUUGAUCCUGGUUCUACGCAUUCAUAUAUAUGUGUUAAACUUGCAAUUGUUAAAAAUUUAUCUGUUGAACUUACUGAAUUUGUGGUUAAAGUCUCGAACCCUCUAGGCCAGUCUGUGUUAGUGGAUAAAAUUUGUAAAAAUUGUCCACUGAUGGUAAGAGGUUAUUGUUUCCCGGCUGAUUUGAUGUUACUGCCAUUUGAUGAAUUUGACGUGAUAUUGGGUAUGGAUUGGUUAACCCAGCAUGAUGCGGUAGUAAAUUGUAAACAAAAAUAUAUUGUGCUAAAAUGUCAGAAUGGUGAGUUGCUCCGGGUUAAAUCUGAUCAGACAGAGGGGUUAUCUGAUAUGAUUUCAGUAAUGGCAGCACAGAGGUAUGUCAAAAAGGGGUAUGAAGCUUACUUGGCUUAUGUACUAUACACCAAGGUAUCUGAGUCAAAGAUACAGGCAGUUCCAGUGGUAUGUGAAUUUUCCGAUGUGUUUCCAGAAGAAUUACCAGGAUUGCCACCAGAAAGAGAAGUGGAAUUUUCUAUAGAUUUGAUUCCGGGAACUACUCCGAUCUCCAUAGCUCCGUACUGGAUGGCUCCUAUAGAAUUAAAAGAGUUAAAGACACAGUUGUAAGAGCUUAUUGACAGGGGUUUUGUCCGACCGAGUCAUUCACCUUAGGGUGCUCCGAUUCUGUUUGUGAAAAAGAAAGAUGGGUCUUUGAGAUUGUGUAUCGACUAUCGGCAGCUUAAUAAAGUAACCAUAAAGAAUAAGUACCCGUUACCCCGGAUUGAUGAUUUAUUUGAUCAGCUGAAAUGUGCUACUAUGUUUUCAAAGAUUGAUCUUCGAUCAGGUUAUUAUCAGUUACGAGUAAAGGAGUCAGAUGUGCCAAAAACAGCCUUUAGAACCAGGUACGGGCAUUAUGAGUUUCUAGUUAUGCCGUUUGGGCUAACUAAUGCACCUGCAGUAUUCAUGGAUUUGAUGAACCGGAUAUUCAGACCGUACUUAGACAGAUUUGUAGUAGUAUUCAUUGAUGAUAUUUUGGUUUAUUCUCGGGAUGAAGAAGAACAUGCAGAACAUUUGAGAAUUGUGUUGCAAAUUCUACGAGGGAAGCAGUUGUAUGCUAAAUUCAGUAAAUGUAAAUCUUGGCUUCGAGAAGUGGGUUUUCUUGGACACAUUGUAUCUGCCGAAGGCAUCCGGGUAGAUCUAAGUAAAAUCUCAGCUAUUGUCAAUUGAAGUCCACCGAAGAAUGUAUCUGAAGUUAGAAGUUUCUUGGGUUUAGCUGGUUAUUAUCGGAGAUUUGUACAGGGAUUCUCUAUGAUAGCUUCUCCAAUGACUCGAUUAUUGCAGAAAGAUGUAAAGUUCGAGUGGACUGAUGAAUGUCAACAAAGUUUCAACCGAUUGAAAGACCUAUUAACGAAAGCACCUGUAUUAGUGCAGCCUGAACCGGGUAAGGAAUUUGUUAUUUACAGUGAUGCCUCAUUAAAUGGUUUAGGUUGUGUUUUGAUGCAAGAAGGUAAAGUAAUAGCCUAUGCUUUAAGACAACUUAAACCAAAUGAAAGAAAUUACCCAGUACAUGAUCUUGAAUUAGCUGUUAUUGUAUUUGCGCUGAAUAUAUGGCGGCAUUACUUGUACGGUGAGAAAUGUCAUAUUUAUACUGAUCAUAAAAGCUUGAAAUAUUUGAUGACACAGAAAGAUUUGAAUUUGAGACAGUGCAGAUGGCUUGAACUGAUAAAGGACUGUGAUUUGAUUAUUGAUUACCAUGCAGGUAAGGCUAAUGUUGUAGCUGAUGCUUUGAGCCGGAAAUCUCUGUUUGCUUUACGAGCUAUGAAUACUAGGUUAUCAUUGACUGAUGAUGGUUCAAUCCUAGUUGAAUUGAGAGCUAAACCGACAUUUUUACAGCAAAUAUGUGAAGCUCAGAAGAAUGAUGAGAAGUUACAGGUUAAACGGGCACAGCGUGAGUCAGGUAAUGAUUCUGAAUUUCAGAUUGGUUCUGAUGAUUGUUUAUUAUUCAGAGGUAGGGUAUGUGUACCUCAGAAUUCAGAGCUCAUACAGAAGAUUCUACACGAGGCCCACAAUAGUACAUGUCUGUACAUCCGGGGAGUAAUAAAAUGUAUAAUGAUCUGAAAAAGAUGUACUGGUGGUCGGGAAUAAAACGUGAUAUCUCUGAGUUUGUAUCAAGGUGUUUAAUAUGUCAACAAGUUAAAGCUGAACAUCAGGUACCUUCAGGGUUACUUCAGCCAAUUACUAUACCGGAAUAGAAAUGGGAAAGAAUCACUAUGGAUUUUGUAUCGGGGCUACCUUUGUCUCCGAGGAAAAAAGAUGCUAUUUGGGUGAUUGUUGAUUGAUUAACAAAGUCAGCUCACUUUAUUCUGGUAUGUAUGGAUUAUUCUUUAGAUAAACUAGCUGAACUGUACAUAUCUGAGAUUGUCAGGUUACAUGGAGUGCCUGUCUCCAUUAUAUCAGAUAGAGAUCCCCGAUUUACGUCUCGUUUCUGGGACAAAUUGCAAGAAGCCUUGGGUACUCAGUUGUAUUUCAGCACUGCAUUUCAUCCUCAGACAGAUGGUCAAUCUGAGCGUGUAAUUCAAGUAUUGGAAUAUAUGCUCUGAUGUUGUAUACUAGAGUUUGAAGGUAAUUGGGAGAGGUAUCUACCUUUGAUUGAAUUUGCUUACAAUAACAGUUAUCAGUCUAGUAUUAAAAUGGCUCCGUACGAAGCUUUGUAUGGUAGAAAAUGUAGAACACCGUUAUAUUGGACAGAGCUCAAUGAAAGAAAGAUACAUGAGGUUGAUUUGAUCCGGGAAACAAAAGAAAAAGUAAAGGUUGUUCGAGAUAGUCUAAAAGCAGUUUCCGAUCGUCAAAAAUCAUAUACCGACCUUAAGCGAAAAGAGAUUGAAUUUCAAGUCGGUGACAAGGUAUUACUAAAUUUAGGCUCCGUUUGUUUGCCAGUAAAAUAUUUUCUGGAAAAUGAAUUCCUUUUCUGGAAAUGACUUACUUUUCUGGUGUUUGGAUGAAUCUGUGUAAAAUAUUUUAUGUUGUUUGGCAGAUUUCCUGAAAAUAUUUUCCGAAAAAGUUGUUUUUACAUAUAUUAAUAAAUUUAUAUAUAUAUUAAUAAAUUUAUAUUUUAAAUUGUUUUUACAUAUAUUGUAAUGAUUUAUUUAUAAAUAAAUAAAUCAAAUUAAAUAUGUAAUAAAUUAAAAACAACUAGCUUAUGGAAACGGAGACCUAAGAGCAGCAUACCCCAUAACUCAAAUGCAUCCAAAAAAGCAAAAGAAAUCUUUAUCCUGUCCUUUUUGCCCAUUAGAAAAACACUUUUUUGAUUAUCAUCCAUCCACAAUCAUCCAUCCAUACCUCUCUAUCUCCCUUUAGUCCUUAUUUUGCAACCUCAAUUCCCAUAUUUCAUAUCCUAGAAAAAAAUCAACUGCCCCAUUUGUUUCUAAAUUAUGGGAUUGUUUAGUUUCCACUUAACAGAUCCCUCACCUUGCCUUUCCUCAAUCAACCUCUCACCUUCCUCAUCAGCCUAUCCAACUUUCUUCUCUGCUUCUUUAGCCUUCAAAGCCUGUAACUUGGCAUGGUUAUAGUAAGCAAUACCCAAAAAAUGUGCAACCCCAUAACCAAAUAAGUUGAUGGGUGUGACGGUAUCCUUAAUGACAGACCAUGAGAAUGCAAUUAAUAACCAGUCCUUAACAACCCUAGCUACAUUCAUGGUCAAAGCAGAUGUUUUUGCAACGAGAAGGAAACCAGAUAGAUUCAGAGCAAAAGCGCAGAAAGGAAGUUGUCUGGAAUAAUUAUCCAAAAAGUUAAAAGAAGUUAGAGAAGACAGUAUUCACACCUGAUAAACAUAGGCUUAUAAUGUGGAAGAAUAUAAGUUAAUCAAUAGGAAGAUUUUUUUUUUUAAGUUAGGUCAAGUGGAAGAGUGAGUUGAGAGAGAAACGCUUCUUCCACACUUGAGAAGAACUGAAAUUAUAUUGAUUUAGUACCGAUUGUAAGCUUUCCCAAAAUCUUCACGCCUCUGACGUUGAAACUCACCAUAAGAGUCAUAAAGCCUAGAGGAAUAAUUUUCCAUAAGAUUUGAGUACCUCACACACUCAUCUCUAACAUUCAACCCACACUCAUCUCUAACAUUCAACCCACACCAUAAGAAGCCCAUAAACAAUCUAAAUGAUGUAUGGCUUUCCAUAAACAGAGAUAGUCUAAGGGUAUACAGAUUAGCCCUAUAAGGAUGAGCAAGAGGGAAGAAGUCUACACAGCACUCCAGGAAUAUGUUCUAGUAAGAAACAAAGUAAGAACAAAAACCUUUGUUUCCGGCUUUAGAGUUUUGAACUUCGUGGUGUUCAUUGUAGUUAAUUAACAGUACAGAAAGUUACAAUCCAACAUUGAUAACUAAGUUAUAAAAAAUUUUACCUUAUCUGAGAAGGAUAUAGGCUUGUCAAAGAAACCAUUUAGCACCAAAAGCACACACGAUAGUCAAACAAGAUAAACAUCUUACUUUUCGAUACUUAUAAUUCUCUUCAUCUUCUUCCUUAUCACGAAUUCUUCCAAGUUCCAUUGCCUCUAUCUUAAAUUCCAACUCCAACUCAUCUAACGUUUGAGGGAAGGCAUGGUAUUCAAACUGAUUGCCAGAUUGCAAGUCAGAUCCCCGUCUCAGUAUCCCAUCCCUCAGUUCUAUAAGCUCCCAUGUUUCGAUUAUGACCAUCAUAGGAAUUAAAUGAGUUGCCACCAUAAGGUAAACAGCCUGGGGAUUUAAAGUGGCUCGAGCGACUUUUAGCUCAAUCAUUACCAUAAGCUUCAUGGAAUGAAGAGUAUGGUAAGCACUUGAUUCAAAUGCACAAAGAUCAGCUUUUAACUAGACACAAUAUCUUAUAUUCACAAAGUGCACCCAUCCGUUGCAAUCCACAAAUGCUUUCAGUAAAUAAAUUUUAAAGUAACAAUAAGCACUGUGAUCGAAUCUGUAAUGAAGAAAAAUGGGUUCAUCAGAAAAGAAAAACCAAAGUUAAACAUCAGAAAAGACAACACCCUUUCCCCAUAACAAUUUUUUUUGUUCUUACCUUCGAGAGAAGAAGAUGAAUGCCAGUGCAGAUUUUGACAACGAAAGGCGAAGAUGGGUAAAAGCUUUGAUGAACGCCGGUGUCUGGUGUUGAGAAUCAGUGUUGGCUGACGGCAAGCAGAAGAUCAGGUGUCAAGGAUGGGGGAAGGGGAAGGGGAAGCAGAAAAUCGGUGUUGGCUUCUAAUUUUCCUGAAAAUGUCUUACCGAAUUAGAAACGGUAAGACAUUUUCCAAGAUUAAGGGGUUCUUUUCCCAUAUUUUGUAAUUGAUUUUCUCUUGGGAAAAUAUUUUCAGCCAAACAAACAAUGGAAAAGGCUGAAAAGCUUUUCCAGAAAAUGUUCUACUUCCAAACAAUCGACCCUUAGUAAUAUCAAUUCAAUUAUAAAUUUCUUUCAAAGAUAUUACUAUAUGUUGUUGACUUUUUUUAUACCAAUUCAAGAAGGUAUUAUAACCACAAGGGAGAAAG